Molecule: long non-coding RNA, 55563 nt
Filed under: Zostera marina
Lineage: Eukaryota; Viridiplantae; Streptophyta; Magnoliopsida; Alismatales; Zosteraceae
Description: long non-coding RNA (ZMAR_LNC001202)
Source: RNAcentral
GUCUGAGAAGGUUUUUAAAUAUCAGGGGUAUUUUUCGUACAUCCCCUCUUGAUGAAUUUUCAAAUAUCAGGGGUAUUUUUCCUACACCCUCUGCCUUGGUGAAUAUUAAAGUUUCUUCAAUUUUGGAGGAUUUAGCUUACCAUGGUGGUGUGACCGAAAGACCCCUGCACCCUCAAGACCUCUUCUGCUGCCAUUUUCGGAGACUGAGAGGAUUUUUAAAUAUCAGGAGUACGGUAUUUUUCCUACACCUCCUGCCUCGGUGAAUUUUCAAAAUAUCAGGGGUAUUUUUUCUACAAUCCAUGCCUUGGUGAAUAUUAAAGUUUCCUCAAUUAUGGAGGAUUUAGCUUACCUUGGUGGUGUGACCGAAAGGCCUCUGCACCCUCAAGGCCUCUUCUGCUUCCGUUUUCGAAGACUGAGAGGAUUUUUAAAUGUCAGGGGUAUUUUUCCCAAACCCCCUGCAUCGGUGAAUUUUCAAAAUAUCAGGGGUAUUUUUUCUACACCCCUUGGUGAAUUUUUUUUUGUCGAACACUUAUGUCGACUUCUGAAAAAGUCGAGCUCUUGCGUGGACUUCUGAAAAAGUCGAUUUGUAAAUUUGUUAUUAUUUUGAUGCUUUAUUGAAGAUUGUUAUGGAUCUUCGAGAUCUAUAAAUAGUCCCUUCAUGCCUCUCUUUUCUCCUCAUCCAUGACUCUUCUGCUCUUCUUGUUAGUCUUUUUGCUGAUUUUGUUCAGGGAGAGAUUGAGGAGUUGGAUCGAAUUUUAAAUACUUUGGAUCCUCGGGUUUCUGCCUUGGAUCUUCCCUCUCUACACCAAAUAAUAGUUGAGCGACAGAAUAUUGUUGUUGAAACCGCCGGUUUGCAUCUCUUCAUCUCCACAUCUACUGCCGGCGAGUUUAAUUCAUUGGUUGCUGGACUUCGAAUUUGGUAUAUCUUUCUUCUAUUUCUUCUUAUAGAUCCCACAGAUCUGUAAACUCUACAGAAUCUAUCGGACUAUUUCUUCAAAAAACUGGGAAUGUUCUGAUUUAAUCUGGACUGCUUGUUUGUCGAUGAUUUAUAUGAAAUGCUUGAUUUUUUAGUUUUUUUGAAACUUCAAAUUUAUUGUACUGGUUGUUUACUCUUAGUUGAUUCCAUAAAAUUUCAUGUUUUUGGGACACUCUGAAUUUUGAGGCUUUGGAAUGUUCUGAUUUUUUUGGAAUGUUUUGAUUUUUUCAUUCUUUUUUGAGAAUGUUCUAAAUGAUCUAAAUUGUUUUUUAAUUCAUUCAGUAUCAUUUUUAUUCUGUUUUUGAAUUCAUACAAUAUUAGUUGUAUUCUGUUUGCCUUUCAUUUGUGGAGAGAAGUGAUCUUGGUGUCUUUCUUAGUUUUUAAAAUCUUUAACAAACUCAUAUCUUCUUUAGAUAAUAUCAUGAUGAGAAUCCCCUUUUACCUUUAGGUGAUACAUCAUUUUUAAUUAUGAUUUGCAUAUCAUUUUUAUAAACUAAAUAAAAAACUUUGUAUGAUUUACUGUCUUUUGAACUAUGUAAUCUAUCGAUGAUUCCAAUAAGAUAUAGCACUCAGAUAUGUUUUUAACCAUUUUUUCAUGAAAUAAUUAAGCAAUUUUUAAAACAAUUAGAAACGUUCAUAUAAGUGUACUUCUGAUUUUUAGAAUAAAUUUUAUAUUUUCCUUAUAUUUCAGAUCUUAUAUCUAUUUUGCUUAUGUUAGUGUAUUAAUUAAUUUUUUUCUUUUCAGAUUUUGUGAUUGGGAAAAAAUUUUAGGAAAUUAUUUUGGUAUGUUAUGUGAUUGUAUGUCUUUUAUGUGUUAAAUUUAUUUGAUUAUUUGAGAAAUAACUCAAUAAUUUUUUAUGUGUAGAAUUUUUUUAAAUUUGAUGACCAAGAUCGUGCUCGAAUUGCAUUCAAUCAUUGCUUAACUAUUAAUUAUCCUAAAUGGCUUAGCAAAACGAGAAAGGAUGCAAAGAGCAGUGCUGGUGUCUCUGAACUUGAUGAGACUUGCAAAAAUUUUCCUCCAACAUACAUUACAAAAGAAAAAUAAGGAUCAAUGAUGGACAAGUUUUUGGCACCAGAGUUAUAGAAAAAUCAAAAAAGAAUUCAGAAUAUCAAAAUAAAAACGAAGAUUAUUUGGUGUACAAGGGUGGAUCGGCUUCUUUUGAAACCAACUCUCAUGCAUUAGUAAGGUUAAAUAUUAAAUUCAUUUCGAUUUAAAUAUUUUAUGAAUUUUUUUAACUAGUUUUUAUCUACUAUGUAGGGCCCUUCCCAAUUGGCUCCUGGUUUUUCCUUUGAACAUUCUUUUCGGGUAAUGCUUGCUCUUCUUAGGACCAAAUUCCUUUCCUUAUUGUUUUAUCUUUGACAUUCUUGUCAUGAUACUUGGCGACGCUUUGUUUGUGCGUUAUCCCGUAACUCGUCUACCAAGUCUAGGGAUGUCACACAUAAUCUCAUGUUUUCUUGUAUGUCAUAUGUCAAGACCCUGAUAGUUGGGACACUGAGUUCUGUUGGGAUUAGUGCUUUCAUUCCAUAUGCUAGUGAAAAAAGGGUUUCUCCGGUGGGUGUUUUCUCCGUGGUUCUAUAUGCCCAUAGGAUUUCUGGUAGUAGAUCGGCCCACACACUUUUGGCUUGUUCGAACUUUUUCUUCAGUCCCUGGACAAUUGCUCUGUUUGUGACCUCUACUUGCCCAUUACCUUAUGGUCGAUAUACCGAUGAGAAUGGAUCUUUGUGCCCAUAUUAUCGCACAAUCUUGUAAACUCCCAACCAGUGAAUUGUGUCUCAUGGUCAGUUACUAUAUGCAUAGGGACACUGAAUCUACACAUUAUGCAUUUAAAUAUAAACUUAGCUGUCACGCUUUGUGUUAUCUUAGGUACUGCCAGGGUUUCGACCCAUUUUGUAAAGUAGUCGACUGCGACAAAUAUGAAUUUUUCUUGGCCUGUUGAUACUGGAAAUGGUCUGACAAUAUCUAAUACCCACAUUGUGAAUGGAAUAGGGCUAUCUACCCCUGUUAAUUACGUGGCUGGGUUUCUUUGGAUAUUUUUAUGAAUUUGGAAAGCCUUAUACUUUCUUGCAAAGAGGAUUGCAUUCUUUUUCAGUGUGGGUCAGAAGUAUCAUUGUCUUUCUAUUUUUUGAGCCAAAUAUCUUCCUCUCUGAUGGAUCCCACAUACUCCCUGAUGGAUCUCCUCUAUUAUGAAUUGCCCUUUGUCUAUUCAAACACACUUCAUUAGAGGUCCAUCGUAGGAUUUUUUGUAUAUGAUGUCUCCAAUUUGACAGAAUCUUGGGAUGCGUGUUUGUAACUUGCGUCGCACAUUUUUGUCCUCUGGUAGUCUCUGUCCUUCGAAAUAUUCCAACAAGGGUAACCUCUAGUCUUUUGCUUGAACUGUAACUAGAUUGCAUGAGGGUGUAGAGACUGAGUCAACCAGUAUCUCUCUCUGUCCCCUCCCGCCAAAAGAGGACGUGAGUUUUGUCAUGGCAUCAGCCGAGUUAGUCUGACUUCUUGGGACUUGUUCUAUCUCUACUUUGUUGAACUGAAGCUUCAUUUUUUCGAGUGUAGCUGCGUAAUGUACAAUAUGAGGUUCUUUAACUGUGAACUCUCUUGUAAACUGAUAUGCUACUAGUUGGGGAUCAGUCCUGAUAAUUACCGAGAAGCCUCCCAAUCUUUUGACUAUUCUCAUGCUUUGGAUUACAACUUCAUAUUCUGCUAUGUUAUUUGUGGCGGAGAACUGUAGUAUAAUGGAAUGUUCAUAUAUUCUUUGGUUAGGGGUGAUUAUCUUGACCCCUAUUCCUGCACCAGUACUGCAAUUUGAGCCGUCGACUUCUACUAUCCAAGAUGCCUCGUUAUUUUCUUGAAUCAUGUCAACGAUAAAAUCUGGUAUAGCUUGCCCUUUAAUGGUUGUGGCAGCCGGCAGAGAUAAAGUCUAUAUCGAAUUCACUUAACUCCAAGGCCCAUUUUAUGAAUCUUUUCCAGAAGUGUCUGGCCUGUGGAGUAUUCUGCGUAAGGGAUGCUCUGUAAGGACUUUGAUUGUGUGACCUAAGAAGUAGGCUCGGAAUCUUCGAGCCGCAUGUACUACUUCUAAAACUAUUCUUUCUACUAGGGGGUAUCGUGUUUUUGCCCCUUGUAGUCUUUUGGAGUGUUAGUAAAUUGGUAUUUGCUCACUGUCCCUUUGACAGAUUAACACUGCACUGAUUGCUUCCUCAGAUGUUGCUACGUAAACGUAUAAUUCUUCCCCAAUUUUAGGAGAAGCCAAAUGAGGUAGUGACGCUAAAUGUGUCUUAAGAUGGUGGAACGCCUGUUUGCAUUCUGGAGUCCAGGUCACUGCUCCUUUCUGGCUGGUUUUUAAUUAAUAGUUGGAAAAAAUGUUUACAUUUGUCUGCAGCUUUGGAAAUAAAUCUACCUAAGGCCUUGACCUUUUCAUUUAGUUUCUGUACUUCUUUGAUAGUUGGGAAGGGGAGGUGUUGUUUCUAAGAUUGCAGUUAUCUUUUCUGGAUUUGGUUUUAUCCCUUUCUGCCUGACAUAGAAUCUGAGGAAUUUUCCUUCCUGAACCCCAAAGCUGCAUUUUGAAGGGUUUAGCCAUAUCCCAUACUUUUGUAAAGUUCCUAAUGUUUCUUUUAAAUCACGCAGCUGAUCCUAUGCUUUUCUGGACUUUACCAAGAUGUUUGCUAGAACAUUUCUCUUUUCCUGCUCUUUGAAAACUUUUUUCAUGCGCCUUUGAAAGGUUGCUCUUGCGUUCCGUAACCCGAAUGACAUGACUUUAUAACAGAAUGUUCUCCAGUCGGUGAUGAAUUAUGUAGCCUCUUCAUCUUCUUCUUUCAUAAGAAUCUGAUUGUAGCCUGAAUGCGCAUCCAUCAUGGAUAGUAGUUCAUUUUCGAAGGACGCAUCUACCAAUCUAUCGAUAGAUGAGAGUGGGUAGCUAUCUUUUUGACAUGCUUUAUUGAGGUCUGUAAAGUCUACACACAUCCUCCACUUUCCAUUAGAUUUUUUAACCAUUACUGGGUGGCUAACCAUUGUGGGUAUUUGAUUUCCCGUAUGUGUCCAGCUUUUCUAUUUCAGCUUACGCUGCUUCCUUUCUUUCGGUUGCGAAUAUCCUUCGCUUUUGCCAAAUAAGGGUAAAGCUGGUGUCUAUAUUAAACUCAUGAUAUGUUAUUGUGCGCUGUUCCUGUGAAGUUGCUUCUCCCUAUCAUAUAUACAAAUGCGCAUACAUGAGUUUCUAGUAGACUUAAUAAGGAAUUUUUUAUUUCGGAGGAUAUGAACGUACCUAUAAGGACUCCUCAUUUUGAUAAUUUAACUUCUUCCACUUAGCCUAUUGGUGUCAUUUCCUCCUUAUCUUCCCUUUUUUGGAUGAAUAAGGUUGUUGGUUUUGUCAUUUUGGUUGCCUUUCUAUAUGAAUCCCUUGAGUCUCUCUGGGCUCUGAAAACUAUUGUCAUUUAUCCAUCCUUUUCCAAAUACCUAAAGCAUUGGUGAUAUGAUGAUGGUAUUGCUUUGAACCCAUGGAUACUUGGUCUACCUAAGAUUCCGUUAAAAGGAGAACUGAUGCCAACUACGAUAAAGUGCGUAGUUUGUGAUACUCUUCCAUUCCUUUUACCCAGAUAAACUUCCAGAUCGAUUGUACCUACUACUAGAGCUUUAGUAUUUAUAAACCCGUAUAUUGCUUCCUUUGUUAAAGCCCAUUUUUAAAGCCCAUUUUUUAAAGCCCAUUUUUUCAAAUGAUGUAAGGUACAGUAUAUCGACUGAACUUCCAUUAUCCACCAUGACUUUAUUAAGACUUAGGUCUUUUCCUAUGUCUAUUUGUAUUACUAGUGGAUCUUCAUGCGGGUUGACUAUACUAUCAAAAUCUUCUUUUGAAAAGUUAAUAUUCUCACUUGGGUAUGUUCUUUUCUUGGAUUCUGAUCUUGUUGUCGUAUGUAUAACCUUUCGGGCGUAGCUUCUACUCUACCCUACUGUGCCUCCUUCAAAAAUUACAUUUAUUACUCUUCUUUUUUUAUUGUCAUCGAAAUUGUUGCUAUCAGGGCUUCUUGAAUGUUCCCUCUUACCUUUGCUCUUUGGGAGUUUGCAUCCUUGUUUGGAUUUCUCUAUCUUAUUUAUAUAUUGUUUGAGCUUACCAAUUUUUACUUGGGCAUCUAAAAAGGUGCUCAAUUCUUUGCAAUUUUCUAUGUAAUGUCUAUGAUCCCUGUGGAACUUACAUUAUCUGUUUCCAUGAAUCCGGGCUUCUUUUGUUGCAGGGUCUUGAUGAAGCACGAAAUCUGCUACCAGUAGGCUCGCGGGGUUGCGAGAAGGGCCGGAGGCUUUGGAGUCCACGACGCGCGCUUUACGUCAAAUACCUGCAAAAGUGGAGGGGAGUCGGCGACUCGGGCUCCUUAGUUCUCUGGUUGGGUGUGUGUCAAGUGGGAAUGAUUUGGGAGUAGAGGACCCCCAAGGACCCCUUUUAUAGGGUCCUGGGGAACGUUUCCCUAUUCAUUAGCGUGGGGCCCACUCCAUUAUGGUGUCCAAUUAAGAGUGCCAUAAUAGCGUGGGCCCUCCCAAGUAACGGUUGGGAAUCGGCGACUCAGGUAUGGGAGUCGCCGAUUCAGAGGUGUGGUCGCCGACUCCCAUGAUCCAAGUUGGCAGUACGUCUACCAGAACUGACCACGAGGCCUAGAGUCGACGAUUCACCCCUGGAGUCGACGACUUGGUAGUCCCAGUCGGCUAUUUCCAGGUGUUGCCUUGAGUACUUGACGUAGACACUUUCUCCGCAUUUGUGGAACUCUCUGGGGGUCCGACAUAAAGCAACGGAACCCUAGUCCUUGUUGAAGGGUGUUGCUGGGAGUGACUGACGUAAUCAGGCAUGUCUUACCAGUACUCCCCCCUGAAGGGAGCACAAGAAACAUGCGUAUACCGCCAAUAUCCCCCCCCCAAGCAAGGUGAUCCGCAUCAAGGCCAAAAACACAAGAUGGAAUUGAGUCAUUGCACUCACAGUGGCACAAAUGACUCCGCGUGGUCUAUGCACUAUCAGAUGGACUGAUUCACUAUCAGAAUCUAAUUCCAGGCCAACGGAACUACAUGUUUAUAGUCCUACUCUGAUCAGGAGCGACUUUUGCUGUGGAUUCUGGCCGAAACGACAAAAUACGUGGAUUCACUAUUAGAAACUGAUUCUGGCUGAAGCAACAGAAUGCGUGGAUUCACUAUUAGAAUCGGGUUCUGGCCGAAGCGACAGAAUGUGUGGAUUCUGGCCGAAGCGACAUAAUCUACUUCACUAUCAUAACUGAUGUUUAUAGUCCACCCUGAUCAAGAGCGACUUUACGUUCGCAACGACGGUUACCUCAUAGGCCGAAGCGCAAGAUGGGUCGAGAUCAUUAAGGUCAAAGCGACAAAAUGAUCUCCAAGUAUUUGAAGAAUUAUUGAAGCCAAAGCGACAAAAUAAUUCUUGGUCCGAUUCUGGCCGAAGUGACAGAAUUAUGCCUGCAAAACAAAAAACAACCUGCAAAACAAACUAUAUCAGUCUAAAGGAUAUAUUUAUUGAUUUACUGACCUUGCCGUGUGGAGCUGCCUCUAAUGCUGCUUCUACUCAUGCUCAAUAAAUCCUUGAUUGAUCUGGCCGAAGCGACAGAUCUAUCAUGCUCAAAAAAAUGUGACAGCUUAUGGCCGAAGCGACAGAAGUACCGGGAGAACUUGUGAUACUCCCUUUGGAUUUCGACGACUUCUGGUCGAAGCGACGGAAGUGUCGGGAAGAGCUUGUGAUACUCCCCCCUUGAGAUCAUUAAGGCCGAAGCGUCAAAAUGACCUCUGGUCUAUCAAGGCUGAAGCGACGAGAUAGAUCGACUCACUAUUAGAGUCUGACUCACUAUCAGAGUCUGGUUCACUAUUAGAACUUGGUUCACUAUUAGAACCUUUCCUGCAAAAAAGAAAACAUCCUGCAAAACAACUAAAUCAGUCCGAAAAUGCAUAUUUAACUUAUUGAACUUACCGUGCGAUUUUACCUUCCUUGAUGCCUCUCCUUUGCUCAAAUUGAUCCUUGGUAAAUCUGGCCGAAGUGACAGAUCUUACCGUGCUCAAUUUUUGAUAACUUCCGGCAAGAGCGCCAGAAGUGUCGGGAGAGUUUGUGAUACUCCCCCUGAAAUUUUGACGACUUCUGGCCGAAGCGACAGAAGUGUCGGGAGAGCUUGUGAUACUCCCCCUUGAAACGUGACGACCUCUCGCCGAAGCGACAGAAACGUCGGGAGUACUUGUGAUAUUCCUCAUUGAAAAUGUGAUGACUUCCAUCCAAAUUGACAGAAGUGUCGGGAGAGUUUGUGGUACUCUCCUUCGAGAUUUGACGACUUCUGGCCGUAGCGACAGAAGUGUCAGGAGAGCUUGUGAUACUCCCCCUCUAUUUCGACGACUUCCAUCCAAAUUGACAGAAGUGUCGGGAGAGUUUGUGAUACUCCCCCUCGAAGUGAUUGUUAAUCGGCUAUCUUUUGUUUUUUCAUUGCUAAUCUUUCAUAUAAAUUACCCUUUAAAUUGUAACUAAGUCCCGAAACUAGAUUCACAAGUCGUAAUUUAGCCACUCUGGACGUAAAUUAGACUCUGCUAACCCUAUUGUUAGGCACUCUAGGCGUAGACUUGGUUGUACGAAUCGUAGCUCAGCCUACGGUUAAAUUUGCGGAUAAUUUAUACUUUCAGAUUAAUGUAGAGUUGUAAAAGAUAGCGCGAAUAAAAAAUCCAAAGGAUGCAAAAUUUUCAAACUCGAGGGUUACGAUCGUAAUUUACAAUUACAACUUAAGUUUGAACCCUGAUGUUGGAGAGAGCUUGUGAUGUUCUCUCCUGAGAUGCGACGACUUCUGGCCGAAGUGGCAGAAGUGUCGGGGAGGGUUUGUGAUACUCCCUCCUGAAGGUGUGACGACUUCUGGCCGAAGCGACAGAAUUGUCGGAGAGGGCUUGUGAUACUCUCUCCUGAAAAUGUGUUGUUGUUUGCCCUGAGUCGGCAACUAGGUGUCCCAGUCGUCGACUCCUACUAUGUAGUUCAACUCCGUCCGAAGAGACGGAGCAACUUUUGACCCACAUCAAGGUCGUAACGACGAGAUGGGGUCAAAUCGUUAGGGCUUUAGCGACAAAACGAUUAUUAAUCUAUUAAGGCCAUAGCGACAUAAUAGAUUCUGGUCAGUGUGGUGGGCACUUAGAACCUUUUGUGGUUGGGUUCACUUGUACCUAUCAUCUACCUAGAACUCUAUUUCUAGACCCUGAUGUGUGGUUGAACUCUAGCCGUAGCGACAGAGUAACUUUUUUGGACCCACAUCUAGGCUGAAGUGGGUUGAAUCGUAAUGUGUCAAAACGAUUUUAAUCUAUUAAGACAAUAGCGACAAAAUAUGUUUAUAAUGUGGGAUGCUAGUUAGAGUCGUAGGUAGAACGUAAAUUUUAUUGAAAUGUAAAUUACAAAAGUAAAAUCUGAUUUUUCUACUUUGCAAUUUAAACUAACAUAUAGACUAAGAGGUUCUAAGGAAUAACGUAUUCAAUACUAAGCGUAGUAUUGUUGUAUGUUGUCCGCGUUCCAGAUUCAGGGACCUUUAGGUGACAGCUUAUUCCUACUCCUCUUAGUUAUGCUAGCCUUCCUGUGGGUCUACCACCAAAUAGCAUAUGGAUGGUUUUCCGUGGAUGAUCCUCGCUAUUGUCGCUGUCUGGCGAAAGAGAGCGUGGGCGCUUUCCUUUCUUGUCAGACUUACAAUCAUUUCGACCUCGGGAUCCUCUGACCAAGUUGUCAAGUUCGCCGUUCGAGAUCAAUUGCUCGACAUAAAGCGAGAACUCCCUGCAAUAGUCCGUCAGAUGGCCGUGGUCCUUGUGGAAUUUACAAAAUCUUCCACCUUUUUGACGGCUAUCCUUGGUUGCAGGGUCCAUAGAGCGAGGAGCGGGCAGAUCCGCUCUGUUCUUCAAUUUCUCAAACAGCUCGCUUUUGCUGAUUGUUAGUGGGGUCCGAUCCUUCCAUGGUUGAGGUGGACCCCUUGGCGACUGUUUGGUGGAUGUUUGAUACACCUUGUUAUCGUGUUUAGGCUUUCAUUCCUUUCUGAAGGAAUCAGCCGCAUUGCCAGUGUAUCUGUUAGAGGAGUCAUUGUAGCUCUUCUUCUCGAACUUUUGUUUUUUGAAGCUAGUGUUCUCAAGUUCCACUAGCUUGUUUUCAUUCUGCUCUUCCACCUCAAUGAAUGAUUGAGCUCGUUGGAAGAGUUCGGGUAAGGUCUCCACUUUAUGGAGCGUAAGAUUCAGGGCUAGAGGGGAGUAGGGUACUAGCCCAUUUGUGUACUCCGCAAUGGCCAGACUUGGGAUUAAGUCGCUCACUUUUGUCAUCAGUGAAGUGAACUUAAUCGUGUAAUCCCUCAGAGACAGUUUGUCAUGUCGCAGUGCCAGCAGUGCAUUGGCACUGUGUUUGAUCCUAAUCAUCCCCACAUGUUGGGCGAUGAAUUUGGACGUGAGAUCCGCAAAGCUGAAGAUUGAUCCAGCUGGCAGACCGGAAAACCACCGAUAGGCAUUGCCCUUGAGAGUGUCGGGGAAUACUCGACACAACAGUGCGUUGUCAGUGGUUUGCGGCUCCAGAACAUUGAGGUAGAGGUUGACCCGAACCAUCGUACGACUCUAUUCUGGGUACCCGCCAGGGUGGUGGAAAGGCCACCUUCAAAAGGUCCUCUUGGAAAGGACCUCUUUUGACUCUUAGGAACUCGAUCGGACUGCUGGCGAAUGGAUUGUCGGCCAGCUUCCGAAGGAGGUCCUCCACGAAUCGUGUUGUAAGAGUCCUCUCAGUGCGACUCUUACUGGGUCCAGCUCUUGAUUUUUCUGAUUCUGGACCUUUUUUCUCCGCAGUCGGAGAAUUGUGAGAAGCCGAUUCACCCGCUCUCUCGCGGGCGAUAGUUCUCUGACUCCUCGCUUUCUCGAGGUUGCUAACUCUUUUUUCCAUGUUGUCCAUGAAGUUAAUCAACCUCACUUCUAGAGCGGGAGAGAUGGAUGCCCAAGGGGGCAAAUCAGUUUGAGCAUCCUCGAGCCUCUCAAAUUGUAUGUUUUGCUGAGGAUGCUCAGUGUGUGACCCAUCGGGUGCCACUGAGGAUUUGCCUUUGUUCCUCAGAUGGUAAUCGUGUUUUUGUCUUUCAGAAGCCAUAUAUGACAAAAGCGAAUUCCAACCGAAGCGCAGGUAUUGAUCGAGCUAACUCGAAAGAAACCAAGUGGAGUCGGCGAUUCAGUAGGUGGAGUCGGCGACUAGCCUUAGGUUUUUGACUUUGAGCUGAACCGAGGCCCGAGAGAAAAAACCAAGUGGAGUUGACGAUUCACAAGGUGGAGUCGGCGAUUCACAGGGUGGAAUCGGCGACACACGAUAGUGGAAUCGGAGACUGCUUUAGGUAGCUUUUCUUUCGAGUCUGACCGUGGACAGCACUCUUAGCUAGCAGAAUAACCCGCAAUCGGAGACUCACUAGGUGGAGUCGGCGAUUGCCUGUGUGAAUCGGAGAUUCCUUGACACAAAGUUAGCGACUCACCCUAAGGGAAUCGAGCUGAACUUUGCGAAGAAAAUUUCACGAUUACGAUGGAAUAUCGUAGUUCGAUAGUCCCACAGACGGCGCUAGCUGAUGAAGCACGAAAUCUGCUACUAGUAGGCUCGCGGGGUUGCGAGGAGGGCCGGAGGCUUUGGAGUCCAGGACGCGCGCUCUACGUCAAAUACCUGCAAAAGUGGAGGAGAGUCGGCGACUCAGGUAUGGGAGUCGGCGACUCGGGCUCCUUAGUUCUCUGGUUGGGUGUGUGUCAAGUGGGAAUGACUUGUGAGUAGAGGACCCCCAAGGACCCCUUUUAUAGGGUCCUGGGGGACGUUUCCGGGGCCCACUCCAUUAUGGUGCCCAAUUAAGGGUGCCAUAAUAGCGUGGGCCCUCCCAAGUAACGGCUGGGAAUCGGUGACUCAGGUAUGGGAGUCGCCGAUUCAGAGGUGUGGUCGCCGACUCCCCAUGAGCCAAGUUGGCAGUCUACCAGAACUGACCACGAGGCCUAGAGUCGACGAUUCACCCCUGAAGUCGGCGACUUGGUAGUCCCAGUCGGCGAUUCCCAGGUGUCGUCUUGAGUACUUGACGUAGACACUUCCUCCGCAUUUGUGAAACUCUCCGGGGGUCCGGCAUAAAGCGACGGAACCCUAGUCCUUGUUGAAGGACGGUGCUGGGAGUGACAAACGUAAUCAGGCAUGUCUCACCAGGUCUAAUGUGAUAGGUUGUGUAAAUUUAAUUUUUUCCCUUUUCCCUGUCAUAUAUUUCUUCUUUCAGGGUGUUGAAGACUGUGAACCCAAAGUCUUUAUAUCUUUGAUAUCUUGGUUUUCCUGAUGUGUCUGAGGUUUGGUAAACUUUUCCAUCAUGUCUUGGUCUCCAAGAAGGUUCCCCUUUUUCGAAUUUUUUAAACUUUAGUUUUGGUGCCUGAUCACUUAUUUCUUUUUUCCCUUUCUUUUUCCUCGGAAUUUAUAUAUUUUUGGGCUUGUAUUAGCAAAUCCUCUAAGCAACUUACGUUGUUUAUGUUUAACUCUAUGGCUAAUGGAGUAUUCAUGUCCAACCCCUUAGAGUAUGCAUAUAUUGCAAUUGUUGUGUUUAGGUCAAAUACCUUCGGCAUUGCCUCUGUGAAUUUGUUGGUUUAAUUUCGGAGUGUAUCUUCAUUUUGUUUUACAGAAAAGAGUGAGUCAGUGCCUUUUCUAAUCCUUGUAUUUCCACAGUGUUGGGCCAAGAACUUUUUCUUUAGGUCUGCAAAACUUGUUAUACUUUCUGGUUGUAGAUCUACAAACCAUCUAUAUGUGGAUCUCCAUAAUGUUCCAGGAAAUGCCCUACAUAAGAUACCAUCUCUUGUUGUGACCCAUUGCAUUAUUCCUCUGAAUAUGUUCACGUGAUCCACUAGGUCCAACUUGUCAUCAUAAUAUGGCAAUCUGGGCAGCCUGAAACCUAGUGGUAUAGGUUUUAUCAUUAGUGAUUUAUGUAGGGCCUCCAUGCCCUCGAAUAGGGUGGGGCAUUCAUACUCUUCUUCAUCGGUGUCUCUUGCUCCUUCUUCAUUUAUGGGUAUUUUUGAUGGUAUAUGUGAUUUGUGUUGUCCUAUCUUUUUAGGCACACGUGGUGGUAAUGAAUUUGAGUGGGCUGCACGUUAGCUCAAGACUUCACGUUGAUCUGCCUAUUUCUGAUUUUCGGGUUGUUUUGAAGUUUGUGCCUUUGAGCAGUGCAUUAUUAUUCUUGAUUUUUCAAUUAUUUUAAGUCUUUCACUCAUUCUGGCUAUUGUUUCUUUCAUGCUCACUAGUUCUUCUAGAGGAAUAUACACCAUGAAGCGGAGACUUUCAGAUGUGGAUGUUGUGCCAAUUGGGUCCCGAUUGUUCUGAGGUACUUGCUCAGGGACCCGUUGCAGUACUUAUGGUGGUUGUUGUAUUUGCUGGUUCAUGGCCUGAGCUACUGUUUGUAACACGAUAUUCUGGUUAUCUGCAACUGCUGAUGUAUGUUGUACUGGUUCGGGCUCUGCCUAUUUGCUUGGGCAUGUAUUCUUUUUUAGUCGUACCAUAGCUCUUUUGGUCACGAGAUUUUUCGUAGGCUGGGCCUGUGGCCCUUGAGAAUCUUCUUCCGUGCGAGAACAACUUCUUAUAGUUACCAUCUUUUCUGAAGUAUUCGACUUUUUUUUUUGAAAAAGUCAGACUGUGUUCUAAAAAAGUCGACUUGUGUGAAAGUCGAUCUCUGAAAGUGAUUUUAGCUGAAAGUUGAGGAUUUUGACUUUUUUCUCUCUUAAGCCUUGAGAAAGUCGAUUCACGAGGGAAGCCAACCAAUGAAACAGAUGACUUCUGAGAAAGUCGUUCUUGAAAAAAGUCGAACCAUUUUUUAACAAAAAUGUCGAACUCUAGAGGAGUGAUCUCCAGACGAUGCUCUUUGGCUCUCUCUGAAAAAAGUCGAAGAGCUUCUGCCGUGAGUAUCUUUGAAUCACAGACAGCGCCAACUGAUGAGGGUGGAACCUGAUCAGUGCUCGACGAUGCUUCCAACAAGUGCUAGGCGGGGAACUCCGUAGGAAAAUUAUACCGAAACUCAGUUACUCAGAGCUCUGCUUCGAUGUGACUUCUCUACACUAAAUGACCUGUCCAAAUGAAUGAGUGAUGGCCCUAUUUAUAUGACUUUUUAUGGGGGUAAUCUGGUUAUUUGGGUUGUAACCGCCUAACUGCCCAGGUAUGGUUUCAAGUCAACUUUCUUAGGAUCGACUUUCUUGGAGUUCGACUUUCUUGGAGUUCGACUUUCCUGAAGUUCGACUUCUGAGAAAGUCGAGUUCUAGGAAAGUCGAUCUUCCCAAGGGUUGACUUGGAACCUCUCCCAAACCUAUAUGAGUACCUUAAUUCAUAUUGGGUUAUCCGAAUAGCUAGUUGCUGGUGUGCUGUGACUAAGUUCGGGAUACUGUAUCACCAAUUUCAAUUACUCCUUCUUCUGUGUUGGGAACAUAGAUAGAUUCAUCAAAGUCAACAUGUAGUGACUCUAUCAACGUUUGUCUUUCCUUGAGCAACAGUCUAUAGGCUUUGCUCCUUCUUGAAUAUCCAACCAAGAUUCCUUCAUCAGAUUUUUGAGAAAAUUUAUCUUGGUUCCCCCUUGUUCUGAGAACAUAGCAUUUGCUCCCGAAUACUUUGAAGACUGAAACUUUGGGUUUUCUUUUAUUCUAGAUUUCAUAGGGAGUCUUGUUUAAGGUUUUCCUAAUGAUUACCUUAUUUAGAAUAUAACAAGCAGUGCUUACUGCUUCUGCUCAUAGAUAUUGAGGAGUGUCAUGUUCUUCUAAUGUAGAUCUACUCAUCUCUUGUUGUGUACGAUUCUUUCUUUCAACUACUCUAUUUUGGGGUGGAGCUUGAGGAAAGGCAAAUUCAUGAUUUAUUCCAUGGGUAUUGUAGUACUCUUCAAAGUUAGAGUUCUCAAAUUUUCCUCUAUGAUCAUUUCUGAUUUUUAUAAUAGAUGAACUCUUUUCAUCUGUACUAGGGUACAAAAUUUAGAAAAUUCACCAAAAGUUCCACUCUUGUUUCUUAGAAAGAACAUCCAUAUAUAGCGGGAAUAAUCAUCAAUGAUUACAUAGGUGAAUCUUUUUCCUCCUCGACCUUGCAAAGGCUUUCGACACUUGUAGCUAGGAGGUAAUUGAGGGUACCUUGCUAGACCUAGGAUUUAGGAUUAUAAUGAUGUGCAUAAUCACAUCAUCUUUAUCCUUCCUGGUCAAUGGGUCACCUACACCACAAAUCCAUCCUAAGAGGGAAAUCAGACAAGGAGACCCCCUCCCCCCCCUACAUCUUUUCUCUACUAAUGCAGAAUUUAACUAUUCUAAUCAAUGAGCAGGUAGAUAAGAAGCAAAUAAGUACCUUUAAGAAGCAUAAUGUGAUGGGAAUCUCACACCUUAUAUAUGCAGAUGAUCUCAUAAUCUUCUGCAAAGAAGGGAGGAAUCCUUCAAAGCCGUGAAUGAGGUUUUCAAAAUCUUUGAGGCAAAAACAUGCCUAAGGGUGAUUGAACCAAAAAGUGAGGUUUUCUUCUUAAAGUCCACCAAAGAGAAGGACGAACUAUUGACUCAUUUAAGAUUCAAAGAGGGAGUAUUCCCUACAACAUACUUAGGACUACCCUUAUCACCUGGAAUAUUAUAUCAGAAGGAUUGUACCCCCCUAAUAGAAAGGGUGAAUGCAAUGGUAAAGGACUGGAAAACAAAGCUAUUAUCUCACGCGGGUAGAGUCCAACUAUACCAUUGGGGGAUAAUGGGUCUAUUUAAUUUUUGGAACAUGUCUAGCAGACUCCCCGUAGAAAUACUUAAGGAAUUACAAUCCAUUACAUAUAGAUAUAUAUGGAAUGGAAAGCAAGAUUUCGCUUGGGUACAAAUGGUGUUACCCAAGAAAGAGGGUGGGCUAGGACUAAGGUGCUACCUAGAGUCGGCAGAAGCGGCUAAAAUAACAAGAUUAGGGAGAAUUUGGUCGACGUAAGACUCCAUUUUGGCCUCAUGGAUGAGGGGGAGGGGUCUCCUAAGUAUUGACAAGCACCCAAGCUUAGAAUCGGCCCUAUGGGCUGAGAUAAUUGAUUAUAAGCAUGAGAUAGUGAAAAUCCUAAAAUGCGAUCCCAAUUACAAUUGUACUUGGGAGGGGAAAGGGACAUCACUUACAUAUAAGAAUGCUUAGGAGUCUAUUAGGGAAACCGGGCCUAUAGACAAAUUUUGGAAGGGAGUAUGGACCACGAGCAUUAGAAAAUUCAGUAUAACGCUUUGGAGAGCUAUAUAGUCUAAGAUAUCUAUGAGAGCGGAUUGGGCGGGUAGGAUGAGAGGGAAAGCCAUGGAUUGCAUUCUAUGUGGAGGACCAUGGGAAUCAUAAGACAAUGUGUUUUUCAAAUGCAAAUUCUCUAAGGAUCUGUGGUCCUAUUUAUUAUGUGCAAAACCCCGUUUAAUUACAUGUGCAGGAAUUUCUCUAGAACAGGCCAUGGACGAAGCGCACGCGAGAACAAAGAACUCAACAUGUUGGGGAUUGACUUGGGCAUACAUAGCAGCAUAUGUAUGGGGGAUUUGGAUAGAGAGGAAUAAAAGAGGGCAUGAAGACAGGCAUACAAGACCUCAAGAAAUUGGAAGGAGAAUCGUGGAGGACAUCACUACACCUUUUAUGCUGAACAGGUACAAAGCUAAAGGGACCAACCAAGAGCGAUUACUAGUAGAAGCAUGGGCUAGAAGAGCGGAACCGGAAUCAACUUAAUUAUUUACUAUCUUUAUUAUUGUUAUAAGUUAAAUUCAGUAGGAACAUAUUAAAAGAAAUGUAACACUUAGGCUAAUGGUAGGGUUGGGAUUCAAUUAAAAAUAGAAUCCCGACUCACCAUAAGCACAAGUUAAGAAUGGUUUGAUGGAAUGACCUAACAAGUCAUCUCCAUAGGAACUCCCAUCCCACAUGGGAUAAGGUUUCCUGAGAGUAGUAGAAACAAUAUGUGGAAUCAUUUAUGAGUAGUGGACCGAAAGGUGAUGGCAGAGUUUUCCCUUGGAAAAGGAAAAGAUGCCUGAAGCACAUCAGGGUUUUUACACUCCCCAUUGUCCAAGACCCACUACGUAAGAACGAUGAGACAUAGAUCAUUCUAGGAACCAUUGAGUCAGUCCCCAAAUAUCGUUGAAGGCUAUGCGUAAGAUCAAUUAGCCGGAUCGACGUGGAGGGUGUGAGGUGGAUUGUUUGUGAUCACAUCUCUUUUUUGUUGAGAUCUAUAUAUUACCAGAUGAUUUUAACUCAAAAAAAAAAGAAUCUUUUUCCUCUAAGACUUUGGGUUUUGGUUGACCCAAAUAAGUUCAUGUGAAGAAUUUCUAAAGAUUUAGAAGUGGUUAUCUCUGUGAGAAAUUUAGAAGAGCGCGCUUUUGUGUUGCUUCCCUUUUUGGCAAGCAUCUCAAAUAUUGCUUUUCUCAUAAGCUAUUUUAGGUAAUUCAGUUACUAAUUCUUCUUUAGAUCAUUUUAAAUACAAAAAAAAUCAGCUACGAAUGCCUUCGCAUUCUCUGACAGUGCGAAGGCAUUCCAGCCUUUGAUUUUAGCGCAAGUUAUCUGGGCCACAUGUUUUUCACCAGUUAAUAACCGGUGAAAUUUUUUUUGCCCUCACGUGGGUUGCGUCAGUUUGCAACCCACGUGUACUUGUUUUAUUUAUUUUAUUUGUUUUAUUUCUUUCUUCCACCUAUCUUCUAUUCUUUUUUUUUGUUUUUUUCUGACCAUCUUAUCAUCAUUAAAUGCUUUUGACAUCCAUCUUCUCCUAUCUUUAUGUCUCCAUCGUCUUUGUCUUGAUGUUUCUUUUGACUGUGCUUAUACCGCAGUAAUGUAAUGCUACCUUUUUUACUGUUAAUGCUAAAAUUUCAAAAAUAUGUUAAAUCGUUCUAUUUUCUUGUCUUACAUCUUUCAUUUCAUUUUUUACUCAUCUUCCACCUUCUUCUCAUCUCAAGUUCUUCACAGAGCACUUCAUGUUCAUCUCAUUUUCUCCCCUCAAUCUAAGUUACGUUUUUUGGUUCUCUUCUUCAUUUGUUAUAUGUAUUCAUAACAUCAAGAUAUGUCUCAAAAUUCAUUAAAUGUUAUUGAUCAAUCAUCACCCUUACCACAACCUAACAUUGAGCCCCAAAACACCAUUCAUUUCUCUCUUAAUUCUUCCUCAAUAUAUAUCACACCACCCUCAUAUCGUCCCCUUCAUGCCCAACCAUUGAACACACCCACAGAGCAUACUAGACCUCAGUAUAAUGUUAGUCUUGUUUUUUAUUCUAUCCAAUUCGAAAAAUCAUCUGGUUGUAUUCCCAAUGAUACCUAUGGUAAUGCUGAAUGUUCAAGAAACAAUGAUUUUCCACUAAUUCCUAAUGCUACUUAUGGUCCUCAUGAAUAUAAUGAUAUUCCAUUAGACAUUGGUCAGAUACCUAUUUCCUCUGGGAUUAAUGAUGUAACCGAACUACCUAAUGCUAAUAAUUCUUCCGACAAUUUUUCUCCCAGUUUUUUCAUUCCCAAACAACCUACUGAUACCAAUGCUUCUUCAGACAAUGUUAAAGUGAAUUCACCACCAUUUGCUGGUCAAAUUUUUUCUUCAUAUUCAGAUGCUCUUGACCGAUAUUUUGGUUAUGCGUCGAAAGGCGGUUUUCUCUGUUCGUUUGGGUUCUACAAACUAUAAUACUAGUAAGGUUGAUGGUAAUAAGCUAUUAGUUAUGCGACGAUUGUUGUGUUCGAAAGAAGGAAAAGUCGACCUAUUACAUCCUGUUAAAUUAGGCAAGCGUCGUAAGAAUGCAGUUUCAAGGUGUGGUUGUUGUGCAAGUAUGAAAAUGAAGAGAGUCGAAAUGUCUGAACAAUGGAUUGUUAAAAAUAUUGUUCUAAAGCACAAUUAUCCCCUCACUACACCAUCAAAAGUACGAUUCCUUCCAAUAAAUCGUUCGAUAUUCUCUACCUCUAUAUUACUUUUCAAUUCUCUUAGUGAAGUCAACGCACCUGUUUCUCAGCAAACUGCUUAUUUUUCUUCUCAAGUUGGUGAAAUCGAGCAUAUGUGAUGUACUCAAUUGGAUAUAUCGAAUUUGGGUCGUGACGAUCAUGUCGAUUUGAAGAAUUAUGACGUUGAUCUAUUGGUCGAGGAAUUCGAAAUAAAGAAGUCUGUACAACCGGAUUUCUUUUAUUCUAUUGUCAAGGAUUCGACAAACAGAUUGAAACAUGUUUUUUGGACUGAUUCUAUAAUGAUUCAACAUUUCAAGUUAUUCUGAGAUGUAGUUACAUUCGAUACCACUUAUAAGACGAAUGUUUAUUCUUUGAUAUUUGAAAUGUUUUGUGGAGUCAAUCAUAGAAAGACUGUCAUUUUCGGUAGUGCAUUCCUUAGGUAACAUUUCAUUUAAGUAAUGAUUGUUGUCGACUUAUGAAUGCUACUAUAUUAUAUCCUAAUGUAUAUUUUUAUAUCCAAAUAAAUAACUUCACAUUUUCUUCAUAUUAGUAACGAGAACGUCGAUGUAUUUACUUAGUUGUUUAAAAUCUUUGCUGAGUGUAUGAGGACUACUCCGAAAUCUAUAAUUACUGAUCAAGAUCUUGCAAUGAAAGGUGUCAAUAUUACAAUUGCUUUUCCUACAACAUUUCAUCGUCUUUGCCGAUGACAUAUCACCAAUAAGUUGUCAACUAAAGUGCCCACUGUUUGUCGCGACACCAAUGCCUUAAAUUUAUUUUAUCAAAUUAUUAAGUAUUCCGAAACUCCGGAUGAUUUUGAAAAAGCUUGGGCUCUAUGGUUGACCAAUAAUCAUUGGUUGUCAAACGUUUGGUUGAAGAGUUUAUAUGAAAUUCGGAAGUCUUGGGUAUCAUGUUUGACGUGCGAACAUUUUUUCGCUGGGAUGCAUUCAACCCAAAGGAGUGAGGGUAUGAAUUCAUUUCUCAAGACUAGGGUCACUGCCAAAAAUUUACUAUUUCAAUUCGUUCGUCGUUAUGACAAUAUGAUAAAUUCAAUCCGAGAGACUGAGAAUCUGAACAAUCAUAAGGACACCUUUUGGCAUCCAAAAUAUAUUACAUCUAUAGAAAUUGAAGUUGAUAUUUUAAAAUUUUAUACGACCGUUAUUUUUCUUUUAUUUCAAGAGGAGAUGCAGAGAAGUUUUUUCUAUCAUAUACUAUCAGAGACGGACGUUUCAAGUCAGGUAUAAUUGUACAUAUGCCCUUUGUUAUUUAAAUUUUAUUAAUUUAACUUUCUCAUUUCUCUCAUUUCUUAUUUAGUUUUGUUACCUGCUAAUGCUAUUAUGAUAUGGUCAUGUUGCGAAUCAUCACCCUAGGUGCUUCUACGACUCAAUGUAAUGCUAUUAUGUGUGGGUGCAAUGAUUGGAGGCCAAGUUUUCCUUAAUGCUUGGAACUCCCCUACUGAUGCUAUUAUUACUUGGUCAUGUUGCGAAUCAUCACAAUAGAUGGUUAUUCGAAUGAAUGUAAUGCUAUUAUGUGUGUGCGCAAUGAUCAGAGGACAAGAUUUCCUUACUGUUUGGAAAUUACCUGUUAAUGCUACCAUUACAUGGUCAUGUUGCGAAUCAUCACCAUAGAUGCUUCUACGCCUCAAUGUAAUAUUAUUACCUAUGUGCGCAAUGAUCAGAGGACAAUAUUUCCUUGCUGUUUGGAAAUCACCUACUAAUGCUACUAUUACUUCGUCAGGUUGCGAAUGCUUACAAUAUAUGCUUUUUUGAAUGAUUGUAAUCUAUUAUAUGUGUGCGCAAUGAUCAGAGAUUUCCUUACUGCUUGAAACUUACCUACUAAUGUUAUUAUUACUUGUUCAUGUUGCGAAUGAUCACAACAGAUGCUUCUACGACUCAAUGCAAUGAUAUUAUUUGUGCGCGCAAUGAUUAGAGGAUAAGAUUUCCUUACUGUUUGAAACUUACCUACUUAUGCUAUUAUUACUUGUUCAUGUUGCGAAUGAUCACAGUAGAUGCUUCUACGACUCAAAAAUAAUGCUAUUAUGUGCCACUGGCUGUUUUGAUGGUAAACAAUAAAAACGAGUUUUUAAAUAACAUCAGAAUUCAAUCUUUUUGAAAUUAAAUGAUAACAAUGAAAUCUCUUACAAUUGCGCUUGCGCUUCUCCAAAGGCAUUGUUAGAAACUCUGAAUGUAUAUUAGAAAGCACACUAGACUUUAAAAAAAGAAAGAGUGUUAAACCGUCGGGAUCUUCUAUUUCAUCUAUUCUUGGUUGUGUUAAUUGUAUUUGAAAUGAUCGGAGAUCGCUAGAAUGAUUCGACGAAGAUAUUUCUUUUUGUUUUUAAUUUUUACAAAAUCAGUGAAAACUCAACAAAUUCGAUUGUCUAAUACAUAUAUUUCCAAAUGCAAUGUACAAAUAUAAGAUUGAAUAGCUGAUAAAUGUACCUUCGUAUGUUGGGAGAAAAAGCCUACACACAAUUACAAUUUAAAACUCUGUUUUUUCAAUGCACACCAAACGCCCAAAUAUGCACGUUUACAAAAAAGAAAUCACCCCAACCAAUAUACAUUAUUAUCGCUUGAUCACAACAUUUAUUUUAAUAGAAAUCGCUUUAAACCUCAACCAUAUACAUCUAUCUAAAAAUAGUACCUUCUACUCUGAAAAUCACAAAAACUAAACACUCACUAAAACCGAAAACCCUGUUUCGUCAAUGAACCUGAUGAAGCACGGAAUCUGCUACCAGUAGGCUCGCGGGGUUGCGAGGAGGGCCGGAGGCUUUGGAGUCCACGACGCGCGCUCUACGUCAAUAUACCUGCAGAAGAGGAGGGGAAUCGGCGACUCCCUUAGGAGUAGGCGAUUCGGGCUCCUUGGAUUGCUCUGGUUGGAGUGUGUGUCAAGAGAGUGAGUUGAGGGUAGAGGUCCCCCAAGGACCCCUUUUAUAGGGUCUUGAGGGACGUUUCCCCAUUCAUUCGAGUGGGGCCCACGCCAUUAAGGUACCCCAAUAAGGAAUGCCUUAAUGGCGAGAGUCCGCUCAGGUAACGGCUGGGAGUCGGCGAUUCAGGUAUCGGAAUCGCCGAUCCAGAGGUUCAAUCGCCGACUCCCCAUGAGCCUAGUGGCAGCCUACCAGAGCUGUCCACGAGGCCUAGAGUUGGCGAUUCCCCCCUGGAGUCGGCGACUUGGUAGUCCCAAUCGGUGACUCCCAAGUGUUAGCUUGAGCUCUUGACGUAGACACGUGCUCCGCACCGUGGAAGCCUUUCCGGGGGUCCGGCAUAUAGCGACGGAACCUAUUCCUUGUCGAAGGUCGUUGCUGGGAGUGACUGACGUGUUCAGGCAUGUCUCACCAGAACCCAUAAAAACAGAGUAGCAACGGAACCCAUCGGAUGGAAGGAGGCAAUGAUUUAAAUAGAAAAUUUCGGAUGUCAUACCUUCUUCAAUGGCCGCGUCUGAUGGAAGAAGGCGACGUUUGAACUACGGUUUUGGAGACAAAAAAAUCCGUCGAGAGUGAUGGUUGAUAAAAAUUGUUGUUUUCUGUCUUACUAAUUCGAUAGUAUGUAAUGCUAAGAAAGAAAUUUGAUUUGAUAGAUAGCAGACUAUGACAUGACACUCGUAAAGCUACACUUACAAUCUAUUAGUCUAGUGGUAGUCUCAUAGCAGGUUUUUAUUUUUUUUACACGGUAACACCGGUUGGCACAAGUUCAUGCAUCUACACCUUUAAUUUUAUCAACCGUCGAUUUUAAUUUAUUUUUUUCCACGGCCCGGAUCAGACGAGGUUCGCAUGCAAACCUGUCGUAGCUGAUACGGGCCGAUUUUAAAUAACUGGUGUGACCUAAUCUUCUAUGCCACGGGAUUUUUUCAUCACUUGCGACAAGCAUGCAGAAGUCAUGAGUUGGCUUGGACUUAACAAAGUUUAAAGAAUAAGCAUUAUUUUUUCUAUCUCCUUUGGAAAUAGUAACUCCCUCGGAGUUAAUAAUUAGACAGCUAUAUUUUUCAAAUUUUACUACACAACCAAUGUCACAUAAUUGACCUAUGCUAAUCAGAUUAUGCUUAAGAUCCCAUUUACUAAAUGAAACUUUCUUAAAAAUGGUCUUUCUUUAUUUCCUACAUUACUCCUACCUACUAUGGUACCUUCGUUGUUGUCAGCGAACUUGACUUUUCGGACUGUAGACAACAUGACUAGUUCUUUGAGUAGAGUUGAGUCUCUUGUCAUGUGUUUUAUGCAUACGCUAUCAAACAACUAUUUCGAGGUUUAACUUACUUGCAAUAGUCGAAUGAUCCUUUGGUACCCAUACUGAGUUGGGUCCAGAUGAUUUAACAAAUUUAAGCAAUUUAUACUUACUCAAUUCACCUUUAGUCAUCCAUUUUUGUUUCAAGCAUGUAGUUAUAGGAGGCGAGUGUGAUUCCUUAACAAAGUAUUUGUUAUAUUUAGUAGAGGAAUAUGGGGAUUUAUGAUUAUUAUCAACACCAAACCCUAGACCAAAUUUCUUUUAGCCAGACCUUGAGUUAUUAAUCAUCUCAUUCAGCUUGGUUGAACUGUCAGAGUAUUUUUGAAGAAUGAUAUUUUUAACCAUUAUAUCUUUAUACUUGCAUGGAAUUUUCUAUCUCAGAAGAAUUAUGAUCAUGCAUGGCUAAAUUUUCUUUAAGCAUAUUGAUUUCAUUUAAUUUUUCAGAUAAGGUGAUGCUUGAAGUAAUUUCAUUUUCCUUGAUUUUUUCUUCUAAGAGCUGGAUAUUAUCAUGAUAAUCAAUUUUAGAUUUACUAGCAGAUAAUUCCAUUUUAUCUAUUUUUGAUUCUAUCAAUUCAUGAUCUUCAAAAUUAGAUUUCUCAGAUUCAAGAUGAUCAAGCAACAUAAUAUUCUGUUCUUUUAAUUGCUUAAUGAUUUUAUCUUGUUUUUCUAGUUUUAAUUCUAAACUAGAGUUUGUUUCUUUUAAUAUCAUGCAAGUCUUAGAUUCAGUUUCAUACAUGCAUUUUAAAGAUCGAUUUUGUCUUUUAGCAUUUUUAUAUUUUUGACUUAGAUUUCAAAAUGCAUCUUCUAAGGAAUUUAAACUUAAUUGAGCUAGGAGAAGUUACCUCAUUGUCGUUUUCCAGAGCCAUGAGACAUUCAUCUUGUUCAGAUUCAGAGUCACAAUCAGUCCAUUGUGCUUGAUGAGCUCCUUCCUUAGAUUUUAGCAGAGGACAGUCCGACUUGAUGUGACCUACCUUUUAGCAAAUGAACUCCUUGUCCUUGCUAGAUGACUCCUUCUCAGAUGAGAUCCUAUUUGGGUAGCUUUUGUGCUCUGACCUUGAUUUUCUUUAAUAUUUGCGAUCCUUACCUUUUGAGUCUCUCUUUCUCAGAAUGUAGUUUCGGAUCUUGUUUGUGAUCAAGGCCAGUUCAUCAUCUGAGAAUUCAUUUUAUGAUUGGCUUCUGAGAGCUAUGUCCUUUUUCUUCUCAAGUUUCACCCUCUUCAGUAAUUAUGAGGGGUUCAUAAGGCUCCUCAGCAACAAGAGGAGAACAGUCUCAACAUCUGGAAUCGUCGAUUAAUAAUCUGGAUGUACAAUCGGUGAUUUAUGUAGUACAAUCGCCGAUUCUAUAGGCAGUCGACGAUUUCUCCAAGCUGUUAGCACGAAGUUCAAUCGGGCGUUUGGGGCCGAGGAGAUUGCUAGGUUGCCACCCGCAGAAAUCAUCAAUUCCACUAGGGAAAUGGGCAAUUUCUCGGGCGGCACUCCUCUUCGCCGACAUCUUCCUCAAUAGGCGAUCCCACCGAGGGAUUCGUCGACUUUCUAAUGUCUUGGGGAGAACCCUAGGCGCAAAAAGAAAUCGACGAUUCAACCUCGUUGAUCGCAUCUAUUAGGCUUUGGCUCAACACAGUCUCAGCGAUUUCAACAUCGCAUGAGGGAAUCGGAAAUCGACGAUUUCGUGGUCCGUUCGUACUACUACGAUUUAAUGAGUACUUUGACCAUAAAAUGUUAGACCUUAUUAUGUUGAAGCUUUUAUAAAAUUCAAAUAUAUCUAAGGUUUUUUCCCUAUAUUUUUUUUCGAAAAAUCAAACUAUACCAAAAUAUAAUUGAUGGUGUGUGGAUCGCCGGAGUGCUCACACAUGCAACUCUCUCUCUAGUACUUUCUUUUCCGAUUCUCAACCUCCUCCCCUGUUGGAUCAGGGGAGGUAUUUAUAAUGUUACCCCAGGAGGCCCGUAGGCUUUUUGGGCCUUCCCCGGUCCAGUCCAUUAUUCGUGCGGUUGGGCCCGAAUGUAGCUGGUUCGGUCCACAAACCGUUGGGACGGUCCGUGGUACUGAUGAAGCACUGAAUCUGCUACCAGGGCUCGCGGUGGUGCGAGGUUGAUGCCGGAGGCUUUGGAGUCCACGACGCACGUUCUACGUCAAAAUACCUGCAAGUGAAACUAGGCGAUUCUAAUGAGACUCGCCGAGUUUCGUAGUGUAGUGCUCUGGUGUGAGAGUGGAACUUGAAUCGUGCCUUCGAGUGUCCCCUUGAGACCCCUUUUAUAGGGUCUCGGAGGGCGCACUCAUCGGCGGAGAUCGCGCCUAUGGUCAUAUAUGGUAACAUUUAUGACGUUGUCUGCCGUCGAGUAACGGUCGUAAGUCGCCGAUUCAGGUAUGGAAGUCGCCUAGUUAAGGGCUAAUUCGGCGAGUUUCUAAGGCCAAGAUGUGCAGUCUACCAUACUGCCGAUCUUGCCUUAACUCGGCGAGUUAUCCUGUAUGUCGGCGACUUGGUAGUCCAAUCGGGCGACUUUACGGGCUAACUCGGCGAUCUGGACGAUGAACGAUGUUCAGCACCGUGGGAGCUCUCCGGGGGUCCUGCCAUAGAGACGGAGCCCUAGUCCUUGUUGAGAGGCGUUGAUGGGUAGUGACUGGUGUAAUCAGGCAUGUCUCACCAGGUACCAACAAUAAUAAUAUAUCAAAAAUUUACUUCAUUAAAAUUUAAUAAAAUAUUAGAAGACAAAAUGCAUCAAUACUAGCUAAAGUCGAUAUUCCCCAAUAUACGUGUCCAUAUUCCCCAAAACAAAAUGCUAAAGUCGAAAGAAAACAUAAACACUUGCUAAAAACAGGAAGAACACUACAUUUUCAAGCUAAUAUAUAUACUAGGGUGAGUGUAUAUUAGCAACUACAUAUAUAGUUAAUAGAUUACCUUCAAAAAUCCUGGAAAAUAAAACUCUAUAUGAAAUUUUAAAUAAAAAUAAAUCAAAUUAUAAAAUGAUUAUUAGAAGUUUGAACUCUAAGUUGUUUAUGCUACAUAACUACUAAUCAUAUAGAACAUGAGUUUUGUAACAAUGGGUUUAGACCUCAAUGAAGUGAUGAGCCGACUCAAGGAGGAAUUAGCCAUUACAGAUUCUCCGGAGGAAGUACCCGGUACGUCAGAGUCGCCCACUACAGGAGAACCACCCACUCCGGGAGAACACUACCUAAUCAAACCGAUUAGAAACAAGAAGAACGUUCCCAACCCAGAUUUUAUUUAUUAUUUGCUGUAAGUGGUUAUAGCCACAACGUAUAUUCCUUUUGCUUUAGGGUAGAGUUAGUUAGUACUGUAUUAAUCACGACCAUGGUAUUUUGGCAUUAAAUAAUGAAUGAAACGGAUGGCUAGGCAUCCAAGUUCAAACUAAAAAAAUCCCUUCUCGUCCUACGGUUCCUUCGGGAGAAGUCUCCUCAUCACCUCCGGCUCCCUCAAGCGAAUUUUCACCUCGUCACCUCCGGCCUUCCAAGGGUUAUCUCUGACCAAGUUCGUAACAUCCCACCAAGGGUGUUACAUUGGUGCUUUCUCUGACCUCUUUGCACGGGAGCUAUAAGGUUCUGCACUCGACGGAGUUAUGUCUAAUACGGCAAAAAAUUAAUCGGAAAGAGUCAAUAGAAGAAACACGUCAAGUUCCGGGUGCAAUUAUUGAUGAACAAACGGCCCACCAAACCGAGAUAACACUCUGCCAAGAUGCGGCGAUUGCGGCAAUAGCGAACACUGUGCUCAAAUUAACUACCAACGAGCAGAGAAACUUCCCAUACGACGCCAAAGAAGAAUCGGUGAACGUACGCCAAGCGUGCAAUCAAUUUGGAUUUCCCACGUUUCACUAAGGAAGAUCCGGAAGGCUGGCUAUAUCAGGUGGACGAGUACUUUGCGUUCCACAGGAUUAGAGAAGAAUCGAAGGUGCAAAUUGCGGGGUUCCAUAUGACGGGCAAGGCUCUAAGAUGGAUCCGAGGCAUGAGGCGGAACACACUUAUUACAAUCUGGGCGAAAUUCGUAGAUAACUUACGAGAAUAAUUUGGAAUGGUGGAGUACGAGAACAAGUUAGAGGAUCUGUCCAGAUUGCAACAAACAUCAACAUUAGCCGUUUAUCUAAAGAGAUUCGAGGAUCUGUUAAACGAUGCGGAGGAACAAAUAGAACAAUCUCUGAUCACUUACUUCGUAGGUGGGCUCAAGCCGGAACUGAAGAGUGAGUUAAAAAUACUAAAACCGAUGACGUUGAGACAAGCUUUCUCGGCCACCAAGGUCUACGAUCGAAGCCCAUCCAGGACGUUGACAUUUAUCACGGCGGACUCCGUUCCGACAAGGCACAGGAACGCCACUGACCGACCCGUUACUCAAAACACUCCCGAUAUAUCCAGGGCAAUGUCGAUCAUGAGAAAGACUCUAAAAGUGGAGGAACUGUGGAUACGCACAACAAAAGGCCUAUGCUUCAAUUACGAUGAAGCCUACUCGCCCGACCAUCGUUGCAAGGGCCGUUUGUUUCGCAUGGAUGCGGAGCAAGGAUGUUUAAUCUAAAUGUAUGAUGAACCGUCGGAGGUGAAAGACCAACUCGAGCCGGAAGUCAGAGAGGAGGGGGCGACAGAAAUCAGUCUCCAAGCGCUUUCGGGAACGUUCAACCCAAGAACGUUGAGAUUACAAGGGUCGGUCCGACGGCACGAGUUCACAGUAUUGAUUGAUGGUGGCUCGACACAUAACUUCAUUCAAGAUUCCAUGGCCUAUAAACUUGGAAUUGGGUUGCAAUCGCUGCAAGAAUUCAAGAUGUUCAUCGGAAGCGGAGAAUACUUGGUGUGUCGUGAAGUCGUUAGACAAGUGUCGUUAACCAUACAAGAUGUUACCUUGAACGAGUACCUCUACUUUCUUUCGAUGGAGGGGGCUAUCAUUGUACUCGGUAUACAAUGGUUGGAAACGUUGGGUGCAGUUACGUGCGAUUACAAGAAAUUAUCAAUGGAAUUUGAGCUCCAAGGAAAGAUGAUUAUUUUAUAAGGUGACCUACCAUCACAUGUGUCGAAUAGUAGCCUGAAAAGUCUCAUGGGCUGGGAAGAGAUUGCUUACCUUUUCAAACUACGGUCCGAGCCCGCUAAGGAUCAAGUCAAACAGGAACUGGGGGUUGAUUUGUAAGAAAUUCUAAAAAAAACUACUAUCAUCCAGGAACCGACGAAGCCCAUUUUCUUCACCAGUUUCUGUUGGUUCGUAAGAAAGAUGGCACCUGAAGGUUUUGCAUGGACUACCGAGCAUUAAACUCAGCCACGAUUCAAGACCGGUUCCCGAUACCCACUAUGGAUGAGCUCCUAUAUGAGCUAAAUGGGGGCAACUAUUUUCUGUAAGCUGGAUUUAAGGGCCAGAUAUCAUCAAAUAAGAAUCGCGGAGGAUGACAUAGAGAAAACAGCUUUUCGCACACACCAGGGACAUUACGAAUUCUCCAUAAUGCCUUUUGGCCUUACUAACGCACCCUCGACCUUCCAGGCAACCAUCAAUCAUUUACUACAGGAUUUGUUGAGAAAAUAUGUUAUUGUAUUUUUUGACGAUAUACUUGUUUACAGUACCUCAAGGGAAGAACAUCUCAAACAUCUGGAAUCCGUUUUAGAGCUACUACAACAAAACUCUUUUUAUAUCCGGGAGUCAAAAUGUUCUUUUGGGGUAACGAGUUUGACCUAUUUGAGCCAUAUUAUUUCUUCAGCCGGAGUAAAACCCGAUCCUGACAAGAUAGAGGCAGUGAAGGCCUGGCCUAAGCCCAAAAUGGUAAAAUAGGUUAGGGUAUUUCUGGGCCUAUCUGGGUAUUACAGACGAUUUAUGGAAAAAAUACGCACAGUUGGCCGCCCCAUUAACAGAUCUAUUACGGAAAGAUAACUUCCAUUGGGAUGAAGUAACGAUGACAACCUUCAAUAAACUCAAAGAAAAAUUAAUCACGACACCCGUAUUAAUUUAUCCACAGAUUUUUCACUCUUUUAUCAUUAUGUGAUGUCGGUGUCGGAGCAAUUUCAAUGCAGCGGGAACAUCCGAUCGCAUACUACAGUAAGAAGCUAUCACCUACGAGACAACGAGCUUCAACCUAUGCCAAGGAAUUAUGGACGAUCACUGAUGCAGUGCAAAAAUGGAGGCAUUACCUGUGGGGCAAUGAAUUUACCAUCCGCACCGACCACUGGAGCCUCAAGAACCUGUUGGCCCAAACUAUUCAAACCUCGGAGCAGCAUUUUUUCGAUCUUAACAAAAUUGCUAGGGUAUAAACCCCAGUUUAGAAAUAAUCUUUCCUUUAUUCGAUAUAAUAUGUAAUAAAUAUUGACAAAUACUCUUGCCCUAGUUGUUUUUCACUUAUAAUAAUUUGUGAUCAACAUAUAUUUUUACUUAUUUUUAUUUUAUUGAACUUUUUCUUCAAUAUAUGUUAUCAAACUAAUUACAUAUAAACAGAAAACAAAUAUAUGACUUUUUUCAUCCCAUAUUUUAACAUAACAUAUUUUUAACUGGUUUAGGAAUAGUAUUUUCGUAAUUUAUUCGAUAUAAUAUAUAUUUUUUUGAUAAGAUUACUUUUGAUUAAUUUAAAUAUUGUUUGAAACAGAUUAGCUAAUAUACUACUUAAUAGUUACCUAAUUAAUUUUGCCAGCAGUUAGCAGUUGCUAACUCCAUCAUCCUUCGUCUUGGAUGAGCAACAGUAGGGCGUCUCUCCCUCUUUUCGCCUCGCGUUCCGUUGUCCUUCUUGUAGUUCUUUUCAUUAAAUCCGACUCCGACCAUGCUUAUGCAGUCUUGAUGACUACCUGUUUCGGCUCGGUCUGGUUCUUCACCCUCUGCUGGUUACGUUGCUUCUAUAUGUGGAACGUAAUGGCACCGAACAUGGUCCAGUGCAGACCCCAUGCCGAUGUUCCAGGCGUAAUUUUGUUUAGCUCGAGUUGUGCCUCUUUAAUUGUGUUGGUAGAGUCCAAGUUUAUAAGUGAGCCAGUAGCUUGUAGUGCUUCGUUGAUGAUCCACUUGGUGUACUCGCAUUUGAGGAAAAGGUGGACCGUAGUUUCUUGUUCGAUUCGGCAUGGAAAUUAUCUGUGUAUGUAUAUAUAUAUUAGAUGCAUGAACCGUAUAUUGCUUCUACCAGGUCUAUGUCUGCGCCUCUGAGUCUAGUUUUUCUAUCACCUUCCAUAUUAGUUGCAUCAACACGAUCUACCAACUUCUCAUUCAUGACUCCUCCAGUAACGACUGGAUUAUUAUGGGGCAGGUGAUAACAUGUCCAAUCAAAUGUAAGGCCAAUGAGUACAGAUCUAAGGAAUCGGUAAGAGGUUUCGAGCUGUCUGUUACCCAAGUUUCUCUUGAAUCAAAGGUGAACUUUACUUGAAUUGGAGGAGUUGUGGCCAAAGCUACAAGAAUGACAGUGGGAGUGGUAGUGUCAGCUACCGGCAAGAAUUGAAGAACUAUUUCGACUUUACUUUUCACCGAUGAAUAAAAUAUCGAUUAGAUAAGUAUUAUUGGUCAACAGGUCAACAUUGUGUAUUUGAGAAUUAUUCCUAAUUACCAUUAACUAUUCUUAAUCUUUAUCUUAUAGCAAAUUUCAAUAUAAGGAUGGAAAUAAUACAAAAGAGAAAUUCAUGGGAAUAAUACAAGAAAUACAUGGGUCGAAGAGAAGCUAAACCUUGAUUAAAAAUAAGCUUAUCAUAGAACAAAGGAAAAAUAUCCAACCACAUUUUUUACUUUUGUGAGAGAUCAAGGAACUAUUGCUUCAAGAUCUAAUGGAGGAGAUCAUUUGGCCAAAGCUAUAAAUAGGAUGGUAUACCCAUUGCAAAAGCCAACCACACUACAAGAGAUUUUCAAAUAUCAGCAUUGAGCCCUUCAUUUCCACUCUCAACGUCCACAACUUUCAAAAGUUCCAAGCUUCCAACGUUUUCAAAUUGUGUUCAAAGGUGUCAAAAGCUCUACACUUCUUCUUCUAAUCUUCUUGAGUGUUCAUAGCAAGUUUAAAGUGUUGUAAUCCUAAACUUUCUCCAUCAUUUUCGUGUGUAUUCCACUUUGGUUGAGAGGGUUGUCUCAAGAUCACCAAAGUGGAAAGGAGGGUUAUUAGGUUUAACCAUAAAACAUUAAGUUAAUUUUAUAGAGUUAUCUGAAAAACUCUUAGGGGCUACGUCUACCUGGAAAGACUUGGGAAAGUUGUAAGUUUAUUUUAAAAACUUAAAUGGUUUGUAAGCAUUGUAGUCUGUAAAAAGCCUGCUAUCCACGGACAUGGGUCUCAUGCCUUGAAGCUGUUUGAUGAAAUGGAGAAAGAGCAAAUAGUCCCCGACCAAGUGACAUUCGUUAGUUUGUUAAACGGCUGCAGCCACUGUGGGUUAGUGGAAGAAGGGUGCUGGGUUUUUGACGUGAUGCAACGAAUCUACAAUCUCAAGCCUCUGGUAGAGCACUACUACGGUUCAUAAUUAGUGGAUCUUCUGACUCGAGCAGGACAAUUGGAAGAAGCUUAUUCAACUAUAAAAUCAAUGCCUAUGGAACCCGAUCGAUCUUAUCAUAUGGAGGACACUUUUAAGUGGUUGUAGAAUUCGCCAACAACAACCCCAACUCGCUGAGAUUGCAGCGUCCAAGAUAUCCGGCCACGGCGGCAGUGGCAGUGGAUGGAGACUACGUCUUGCUGUCAAACAUCUACUCGUUAUUAGAUCGACGGCGUUCUGCUGAGAUGAUAUGGGAGACGAUGAGGAAGAAGAAGGCUCGAAAGGAGCGUGGUUUGAGUUGGUUCGAAAUCGACGGUCGAAUUUUCAAUUUAAAGUCAGGUGGUGUGAGGUCUCAUCCUGACUCAAAAAGCCAUGUGUUAAGUUGUUUGAUGGAAAAAUUAAAGGCAGCCGGAUUUGUGCCGGUGACAAGUAUGGUUAUGAUGGAUGUGUUGGAGGAGGAAAAGGAAGAGAAUUUGCCGUGGCAUACAUCGUGUCCAAGACAACUACGAUGGCGAGGGAUGAUCAUGCAUGAGGGGAAGGAAAUUAGAGCAUCUACCAUUUUCAUCGAUUUGAAAAUGGUAGAUGCAUGCUCUUGUAGUGAUAUUUCUACGUUUGAACUUUGCAAAUAUAUAUUCAAACAGAAUUGCUAAUAUCGAUCCCUUUCAGAACCUCUCCAGUUUCAUCCAUCGUCUUCAUUGUUGCGGUCAGAUCUUUUACACUAGGAGCGGCUUGUCGACAUGAGCUACAGUGUCGACGAUAGUGUUGGCCGGAAAUCAUUGGCAGUGGUUCGUCCAUGGAUGUUGCUUGCAACCGAUCGAGUAAAGAAAGGAGAUCGAGUUUGGCAUCUACCAACAAAAGAUAAGCAAAAAAACGUCGACCAUGAAAGAAAAAGAGAAAAUGAAUCGAGAGUGCACGCAACAAGCGAGCAGACGGGAAGACAUGGCUGAGACGGCGAGCUUUUUGUCUCCCCCAUCGAGAGGUGGUUGAAGAGGUGCCUGCCGGUGCUUUCUGAAAAUUUCCUCUCGAGGAAUAAAACAAAGAUUUGGCCGAAAAAACUCAUAAUUACUAUCUAUAUCAUCUUCUACCUAAAUCAACUUUUUAUUUCCAAUUUUACCCUACUACUAUCUCCACCACCUCCACUUAAUUACUAUAAAUAUUAAAAAUCGGACAUCCACCUUUCACCAACUAUCUCAUAAUAAGUCGCGUCUAUUCAUUAACACUUUACAGCUGACCUCGGCUUCAAAAUUAAGUGGACUGACUUCAUGAUUUCAUUUGAAGUUGGGUGAUAACUCAAUUCUCAUCAUUAAAUUCAAUUCCAACGACCCCACAUUUAAUUACUAUAUACUUGUUAAUUUUAGGUCAUAAUUUGAUUGUUGAAUGAAAUAAUAUGAAAAUAAGUUAUCAACUAUUCCUUCAUUCUUCUCCCAACAUCCGUUCUUCUCUUCUAGCUAUUAAGAUCAAACGCCCAUCACGUGCACAAACUAUUUUCCCAAAUCGAUCACCGGAGAAUAACAUCGAUCGAUGGCAUCUUCCGACCAGUCUCCCUCCGUCAACGGAAAAUAAUAUUCUGUUUAUCGAUACGGCCUUUUUAUUUAAUUUCCCGUUGUAUUCUUCAUACGACUUUGUUUUCAUUUAAUGUAAAUUUAAAAUUAAUUUAAAUUUAUAAUUAAUAAAUUAAUUAAUUAAAACUAAAAAUUAUAAACACCACAAAGUUUUGGUUGCAAUUUAUCUAUCAUUCCUAAACAUAUUCAUUGGAACGCACGUUUAAUAAACGCUUAAUAAUUAUAAUAAUUUUAUUUUUAUUGAACUUUUUAUUGACAAACUAAUUACAUAUAAACAGAAAUCAAAUAUAUAUAUAGCCGAUGACUUUCUUCAUCCCAUAUUUUAACAUAUAUAACAAAUUCUUAAUAUAUUGGUUUAGAACCGGAAUAAUAUAUAUUUCCUUUAUUCCAUAUAAUAUUUAAUUUUACCGUAUAUGUAUAUAUAUAUAUAUUAGCAUGCAGGACCGUAUUUUGCUACUGCCGCGGCUAUGUCUUCGGUUGUGAGAGUAGUUUUUAUGAAUGGAGAAGUACCUGUUGAAAAACGUCCUACCAAAAUCGUAUUCGUCAUGACAACAGCGGGGUUUAUAAUAUGUUCCAGGCCAAUACCAUGUCCAAUCAGAUGUAAAGCCACUGAGUGCAGAUCUAAGGAACCCGUAGGAGGACUAUGCGGGGUUGUUGACCAAGUCUCUCCUAUAUCAAAAAUGAGCGUUACUUGAAAUGGAGGACCCGGAGCCGUGGCUGUAGCUACGACAUUAGCGCCAGUUACUGACGAGAAUUGAAGAACUAUGUCGGCCCCUUUCUUCACCGAUGUCUGUGAAUAAAAUAUCGAUUAGAUGAAUAUUAUAUUAUUAUUGAUGAUAAUUAUGUUACGUUAUAAAUAUAUAUAUAUGUACACUAGUUUAAGAACUUACAAUUGCAAACUUUACACACGCCGCACGUUCCCAUGUAUCAAAAGCCUUUGUAAAUAUCCUUUUGCGGAUGUAAAAUGGAAUGGUAGUGCCAGACGGAUCGAGGUAGAACUUCACUCUACGAACGUCUCUGACCCGGGCAGUAGCAGGGAUGACUGCAUUACAGGUUUGUCCGGAUGAUGUUAUUAUGGAUGCGAGGAGGAAGAAACCAAGGAAGACAAGAUAUGACAUGGUGAAUUAAUGUCAAGAAUUUAGUUUCAAGCUUUGGGAAAUUGUGAUGUCUUCAAACUCAUCAUACACACCCAUAUUUAUACAACUUUUCUACAAUGUGAAUUUAAUGAGUUGAGAAUAAAAUGUUGACCGUAUUAAAGAGGGUGGACCCGUUUAAUGAAUAUUGAUGUCGAAAAUAUUUUAUUUUAUCACAUCAAAAUAAGUAGACAGACUUCAUUCUAUAUAGAGUUCGGUGAUAUCUCAAUUCUCACUAUUAAAUCCAAUUCCAACGACCCCACAUUUGAUUUCUACUUAUUCAUUUUGUUUAUUAAUUUAUUUAAAUAUCAUUAAAUAUGCACAUUAACUUGUAAAUUGUAAUCGGAAUCGCAUAAAUUUAGAUUUUUAUAUAAUUAAAUUGAGAUUUUGAUAUAAUUAAAAAGAUUUUGAUGUAAACUGACUUUUCAUGUCGAGAAAAAAAAUAUAAUUAAUGUUGACAAAUUUAUUUGCCCUACCUACUAAUUCUUCUGAUCAUUUGCAAUUUAUUUGGUAUCGAUAUAUAUUAGUGUGUCCAAAUUAUCAUACAAUUUUGCAUAUAUUUGCAAGUUGAAUUUUACAACUGGAAAUAGAUUACAAUUUAAAAACUUUUUUAAUUAAAAAUAAAAUAUUUUUAUUUUCUAACUUUUCAUAUCGAGAAAAAUUUAUAAUUAAUAUUAACAAAUACUUUUGUCCUAACUAGUUGUUUUUCAAUUAUCAUUAAUUCGUUAUUACACAUAUUUGCGUGUCNNNNNNNNNNNNNNNNNNNNNNNNNNNNNNNNNNNNNNNNNNNNNNNNNNNNNNNNNNNNNNNNNNNNNNNNNNNNNNNNNNNNNNNNNNNNNNNNNNNNGAAACACCCCGCUUACUAUCAGAAAAGGCGAGCUGUUUGAGAAGCUAAAGAGCCGAGCGGAUCUACCUGUCCCUCGUUCUUUAGACCCUGCAGGCAAAGAGGGCCGCAUGCAAUCUGGGAAAUACUGUGAAUUUCACAAAGACUGCGACCACCUAACAGAUAACUGCAGGGAAUUCUCGUCUUUCGUUGAGCAGUUGAUCUCAAAGGGAGAACUUGGCAACUUCGUCAAGAACUCCCGAGGACAAGACAACUGCAAACCUGACACAAAGGGGAAGCGUCCACGCUCUCCUUCGCCAGACAGUGACAACAGCGAGAACCGCCAGCGGAAGACCAUCAAUAUGAUAUUUGGUGGUGGAUCCGUUGGCAAGUGGCACUAGGGAAGGGGUUCCCCUGCCUUAAAAGCCAAGCUGUGACUGUCCUGGAAGAGCACCAGGGCAGGUUCGUUCGGGGGGGUGAGGCACCGACACAGAUUGCGCGCACAAACUGAACGUCGGCUCAUCCAUUCCAGCUCGACGCCAGAAGCGUCAAACACUCACUCCCGACAGGCGGGAGUCAGCCAAAGGAACCUGGGCAGACAAGUUGUGCAAAAUCCUAUGGGCAUAUCGCACCACGAGGAAGAGCCCUACGGGCUAGCAUAACAGAAAGGAAUAGGCCAAGAAAUAAACUAUCUUCCAACUCCGAAGGUCCCUACAUCGUUAAGGAGGAGAUAAGGCCAGGAGCUUAUCGCCUACAACGACUGGAUGGAGCAAUGAUUCCUAACACCUGGCAUGCGGACAACAUGCAGCAGUACUACGCAUAGUACUCACAAGCAUCAAGUUUAUUUUCUUUAGUUUUCCUAGUAUGUAUGUUAGCUAAUUAUAAAAUAUAUAUACGCAUUCUAACCCGUAUGGAUACCCUAAAUCUAUUGUGUCGCUUUGGCCUCAGUAGAACAAAGAUCAUUCCGUCGCUACGGCCCUAAUAAUCCCAUCCAAUCUUGUCGCUAAAAAGCCUUGAUAUUGAUCAACAAGUCACUCCGUCACUAGGAUAGGAGUCGACUACAUCGUCAAGGGUUCAAAUCCAGGGUUAGAAUAAAUAGGUCCAAUUCAGACACGCGUUGCGACCACAACUCUUAUUCGCACGAGCGAAUCAAAAACUAGUGGAUAUCAAACCACUUUCGCCUAUCGUGUUUAACUACGAUUCAUACGCCCAAACUUACGCUAAGUAAGGUGGAAAGAAUCUAACUUACGUCCAAAAGCGACUAAGUUACGAUUUAUGAUCCAACUACGAUUCGUACGACUAAACCUAUGUCCUAAGAAUCUAACUUACGUCCAGAGCGACUAAGUUACGAUUUAUGAAUCUAGUUUAACUCUAAAAACAUAUUAGCAAAAAAAAGGUGAUUUCAUUAACACAAAAAAUAGAAGGAAAUCUAUUACAAUAAUAGUUCAAUCUUCUUUCCUCGCUUCGCGAACAUCGCUUUUGAUCUUAUCUAAAGCCUCCUUGUGCUCCAGCUGCACUUCAGGAUGUUCUUCUAGCCACGCCAUAAUGUCUGAAAUGUAGUUGGCGGGCAGACUUGUAAACACGUGAGGUCCGAAAAAGUUCACGUCUUGGAGUUGAUCGGAUUGACCAUCAACUUCGAACUCCAAGUCCUUCACCUUCUCAGAAGAAACGUCCAGAGCUUCCUUCAUCUUCUUCGACUCCUCCGUGGAUCGAGAGAAGCGAUCUUGUAAAUCCUUCAGGGCAGAGGUGGAUUCAGAAACUUCAACUUGCAAUUUCUGAAUUUGUGUUUCAGAAAUCAUCGCAUUUCCCACUUCCACGUCCAGCUGCGUCUUCAGCAUAUCAAUUCGUUUUCGAGCAGCAGCGAGAAGCGACUCAUUUUCUUUCAGAGAGUCACAGCUUCGGCGAAGAUCAGUAAUUUCAAGUCGGUGCGCAGCGCACUCUUUGUUCUUCGCCGCUAUCGCUUUCUCGUGCUCAGCAGCUUGUUCCUCCAACUUCUUAUUCCGUUGGAGGGUCUUUCUCAACGACCACACUUCUUUACAGACAGCUUGAUACUUGUCAUCAAGCUUGUUAUACUCCUGUUGAGAACGGAGUGUGUCGUUCGCAGAUUGCAUCCCAAUGGUUGCAUUCGAUAGAUACGCGACCUACAAAACAAAACAAUCAAUUAGUAAAAUAAAAUAAAGCAAUUAUGCGUAACAAGCGAUUGUGAAUCACUUACAGCAGAUAUAGCUUUUCCAAGCUCUUCACGUAUCCAAUCCCCAGAUUAGUCAGAAGCAGCUUGGCAGCCUUCGUCCGCACCCCUUCAUCAGCAAACAAGCCCGGAUAAUCAAAUGUGGUGCGGAAGGGGGCGUACUCAGGAACAGACCUCGAGCUCGACCCAGUCUCGAAGGUUCUGCGGGGGCCAGUCUCUUGGGCCUUCCGUUCUCUUAUCAGCUUAGCGCCGCGAAGUCUCACGGCCAAAUGGGGAAGAACUGCCUCGCGGUAGAGAUGUGCACCCUUCUUCUUCUUUAUCGGGUUGCCAGAAGGGUCCUCUGACCGCAGGUAGUGUGCCACGUCAGAAAAAGUAAAGUCCUCUCGCUGGCACAAAGCGAAAGGAACUCCUUGCCCACAUUCAAAAGAAGCGAGAGCAGAAGAGAUCUUCUUCACCCGCUUCAGUUCAGCCUUGCUCAGGGCGCAAGGAACAUCCAGGUGUACGCGGCGAGCGUUGGCCCACCUCUCGCGACUCCCGCGUACAAAUGUAGAAUCGAUAAAAAAGAACUCACUCUUCCACUGAGGCCCAUAGUUAGUGGGGAGUUCUAUUAUCAGCUCUCUUCCGCUAAACCGCUUUGCCAACCCCAACCGACCAGAUUCGGAAGCGGGCGCCUUGACAAAUUUAAAAAACCAGAAGAACAAGGCGGCGGUUGCAGGGAUGUUCAGGAUCCAACAGAUGUUGGAGAAUCCUCUCAAGUACACAAAAAACGCUGCCUGCAUCUGCGACAGCGACACCCCCCGUGAAGAAGCACUUCACUCAUCAGUGCUGGAAUCGGCAGCAUCGAGAAGUGUCGGAAAUAGAGGCGGGGGAUGGCUUGAAACCCGGCUGGAGGCAGGUUCGCGGGCUGAUAUUGCGACCCCCAGAACCGCAAGUGCCCAGAAAUACGAAUCCCCCGUAAAAUCUCACGGGCUUCAAGUGCAGAAGUUAUCGAGAAUGGAUGCACGCUCUCGUUCUGCGGCACGAGAGGUGCAUUGACAGAAACUUCUUCAAAGGACCCCUCAUCCGUAUCACUGAGGGGUAACAAUCUGAUUUCACCACCCGGCAGAGUUUCGCAGUGAGCAUAGCCGGUGUGGUUCUCAACUCCCUCGUAGAAUAGGAGGUUUACAUGAUCUCCAUCCUUGUCCAUUUCCAAAGGAGGAGGAGGAGUGUUCGAUCUGUCAUCGCGGCUUCGACUCUGGCCGCGGUCAACUGGAAUCUCCUGAGUAUAGUUAAAGGGCUCAGGUACCCUUACAUCUUCCGCAGAGGGGAAGUGCACUUUUCCUCUACCACCCAUCCCAUAAAUAUGAGGAAUGGGGGCAUUAAUGUUGUCAGACUUCUCGGAAGAAUCCCUAGCAUGUUUAGGGUGCUUCCUCUUUCUCUUCUUCGGCCUCUCAAAUUCAUCAAUCGGCCUGUCAACAUCCACCACUUGGAUAGGUGGAAAAUCUUCAAUUCCAACCCCCGAGUUUGGGGGCAAUGUCGGCGACUUAAGUGUUGAACUCGCCGAUGUUGGUACGGAACUCGCCGAUCCGAGUUGAAUUACUCGGCGAGGUCUCUUAAACAUGGGGACAACCCCCUUGCCUUUGGCCAGCGACUUCCCAAGGGGACUCGCCGACUUAGCUGCAAGAGUCGGGGGAUCUCACCCAGUUCAAUAAGGGGCUCUGCCACGACCAGAGUCAGGGAGUCAUCCGUCAAACUCGCCGAUUUCUUGCUAGAACUCGGCGAGUUUUCAGGAGUCAGCCCGAGCAACUCGCGGGCAGUAGCAAGGAACCUGACGUUCUGAGGCGCGUCGACAGCCGGAAUCUCCGACCCACCGCGCGAAGGCGAGGGAAUCGGAGACUCGACGGUGUCGAGCACCCCCGUCAGGCCUUCAUCUAUAUCAUCGUUCAGUAUGUCGGCGACCAGAGUUUCGGUCUCCGACAUUGUCAAUCUAGGGAGAAACGGUUCGUCUGCCAUAAGUCGGCGAUUUAGAAGUAGACUCAGAGACUUGGUGAAAAGAUCUGGUGAUUGUAAUGAAAGUCGGCGAGUUAUGAAGAAGCUCGGUGACUUAGAAAGGGAUUAGGGUUUAAGCAAAAUCAGGGUAAGUGGUGUGCGGAUUAAAAUAAUCGACUCACUAUUUAUAGACCCUGGGUAAAUUGCAACCCCCCCGGAGAAUCUACAAAUUACGCGAAGAAAAAUCGCUAAUUGAUCUCCAAAUCCGCAAACUCGGCGAGUCUCUCGCAAACUCGCCGAGUUUGGGAAAAAAUCACGGGAUACGAGGAGGAAAUUUCCAUACUUGGAAAAUUUGCAAAUAUUUCCCAAGAUCCUAAGGAUUCUCGAAGAGAUCCGCCAGCUCAUACUAAAACUCGCCGAGUUUAUAGGAAAAUCGCCGAUCCAGGUCAGCGAAUCUCCAGGUUUCUCAAAAAAUACCUUCAAUACUAAGUCGGCGAGUUAACACUUUAAGUCGCCGACUUAGGAUAUACACAGUAUCUUAGGGGGAAAAUCACAAACCUCCUUCCACAACUUCAGGGGAGAGUAUCACAAGCUCUCCCGACAUUUCUAUCGCUUUGGCUAGAAAUAGUCAAACCUCAGGGGGGAGUAUCACAAGCUCUCCCGACAUUUCUAUCGCUUUGGCUAGAGAUCGUCAAAACUCAGAGGGGAGUAUCACAAACUCUCUCGACUUUUCUGUCUCCGGCCGGAAAUUGUCAAAACUCAGGGGGGAGUGUCACAAACUCUCUCGACUUUUCUGUCUCCGGCCGGAAAUUGUCAAAACUCAGGGGGGAGUAUCACAAACUCUCUCGACUUUUCUGUCGCUCCGGCCGGAAAUUGUCAAACCUCAGGGGGGAGUAUCACAAGCUCUCCCGACACUUCUGUCGCUCUGGCCAGAAGUCGUCAUACAUAAGCACGGUCAGUCUGUCGCUUCAGCCAGAUUCACCGAGGAGUGGUUAAAGUAAGGAAAAGAGUAUCGCAAGAGGUAUUUUCGGUCAAUAAUCAUAUGCGUUUUCAGACUGAUCUAGUUGUUUUGCAGGAUGUUUUCUUUUGUUGUUUUGCAGGACGUUUUCUUUUUUGCAGGUAUUAUUCUGUCGCUUUGGCAAGAAUAAGACUCUAAUAGUGAGUCCAAGUAUCUUGUCGCAUUCUGCCUUGAUACACUAGAGAUCGUUCUGUCGCUUUAGCCUUAACGAUUCUCAACCCAUCUUGUCGCUAAAAAGCCUUGAAGGGGGCCGUCGUUGCGGACUUUAAGUCGCUCUUGAUCAGAGUGGACUAUAAACAUUAGUUCUAUCGCUUCGGCUAGAACUUGGGUCUAUCGCUCUGGCAAGAACCCGAUUAUGUCGCUAAAUAGCCUUAAUCGAUUCCGUCGCUUUGGCCGAAAUUUAUCUUGUCGCUUCGGCCUCGAUAACACAGUGCAGUCGCCCCUGAUCAGGGAAGGACUAUAAACAUGAGUUACCGUGGCCUGGAACUCGAUCUAUUCUUAUCGCUUUGGCCUAUGGAUUCUGAAUCAUUACGUCACUGUGGGCGGAUGAUUCGAUCUCAUCUUGUCGCUUUGGCCUUGGUGCUGGGUCUAACACUUUGAACCUUGAUUGACGGGGGGGGUACUAGUGAUACACCAUGUUUCUUGUGCUCUCUUCAGGGGGGAGUACUGGAGAGACAUGCCUGAUUACACCAGUCACUACCCAUCAACGCCUCUCAACAAGGACUAGGGCUCCGUCGCUAUGGCAGGACCCCCGGAGAGCUCCCACGGUGCGGAACACGUUCAUCGUCUAGAUCGCCGAGUUAGCCCGUAAAGUCGCCCGAUUGGACUACCAAGUCGCCGACAUACAGGAUAACUCGCCGAGUUAAGGCAAGAUCGGCAGUAUGGUAGACUGUACAUCUUGGACCUAGAAACUCGCCGAGUUAGCCCUUAACUAGGCGACUUCCAUACCUGAAUCGGCGACUUACGACCGUUACUCGGCGGCAGCCAACGUCAUAAAUGUUACCAUAUAUGACCAUAGGCGCGAUCUCCGCCGAUGAGUGCGCCCUCCGAGACCCUAUAAAAGGGGUCCCAAGGGGACACUCAAAGGCACGAUUCAAGUUCCACUCUCACACCAGAGCACCACACUACGAAACUCGGCGAGUCUCAUUAGAAUCGCCUAGUUUCCACUUGCAGGUAUUUGAUGUAGAGCGUGCGUCGUGGACUCCAAAGCCUCCGGCAUCAACCUCGCACCACCUCGAGCCCUGGUAGCAGAUUCAGUGCUUCAUCACCUAUGUAGACGAUCUAUUGGUCACAGGGAAUAACAUUAACUAAAUAAAUAAAACAAAAAUGGAACUAGCAAAUUUUUUCAACAUAAAAGAUCUAGGAAAAUUAAAAUAUUUCCUAGGACUAGAAUUCACCUAUGCACAAACAGGAAUAUACAUGGGACAAAGAAAAUAUAUACUAGACCUGUUAGAAUCAACCGGGUAUCUGAAUUCAAAACCAAAAACUACACCAGCAAAGAAAAUAACAAAAAGGAAAAUGAUGAAACAGAACUCGAGGAUGCCACACAAUACAGGAGCAUAGUAGGAAAAUUAAUGUACCUGCUAACUGUAACAAGACCAGACAUAACAUACGCAGUAAAUACACUAAGCCAAAACAUGGCUAAACCAAGGCAAAAUGACCUAAACGCAGCACAUAAAGUGCUAAAAUAUAUUAAACAAUCACCUUGUUUUGCUAUCUCUUUCUCAGGAUCCAACACAUCAGGAUUAAGAGCCUUCUCAGAUUCCGAUUGGGCAUCAUGUCCUUCAACAAGGAGAUCGACAACAGGGUUCGCCAUAUUUCUUGGGGGAUCUCUAAUAUCAUGGCAAACAAAAAAACAACACACAGUUGCUAGAUCAUUAGCAGAAGCGGAGUACAGGGCAUUAGCAUAUACAAGUUACGAGAUAACAUGGAUCAUCAAUCUACUAAAAGAAAUCAGAACUUACAAGAAUGAGACACCAAUCCUUUACAUGGACAGCAAGUCUGCAGCAGCAAUAGCAAAGAACCCAGUACUACAUCAAAGAACAAAACACAUCGAGAUUGAUAUUCACACAGUGCGCGAUAAAAUCAUGGAAUUUUUUUUGAAGAUAGACAGGACUCGAGAAUGAAUGUAGCCAACAUGUUUACAAAGCCAGUAAUGGGAACAUUGUACAAAAUACUACUGAUGCAACUCGGAAUGAAGAACAUACAUCAAGGAAGAACAGAAAAUAAAAUCAAAGAAGGUGAAGGAAGGGAAGAAAACCUUUGACACCGAAGCGACUCCUGCCAAAACCCUAGGAUCACCAGCCGACAAUAUUCAAAGAAAAACCCCACACACGCCUUUUAUAGUAACACCAAUAAAACUAACCCAAUAAAUCCCUAUAUCCAUAUAUCCGAAUAACCGAAUAUCCACAUCCAUAUAUCCGAAUAUAAGCCCAUAACCCAAAUACUAGCCCAAAUCUUAGUAGCUUAUGGCCUUAUUUUCGAGGGAGACUAUUAGAAUUAUUGGGAAAAUUAUCCCUCUAGUACCUACAAAACUAUAAUAUCUCAUUACUUAUUAUCCAAUCCAAUCAUUCUCAAUAUAUACCUACUUCCUAAUAUAUUACUCCCUAAUAUAUCUAUUUCCUAAUCCAAUUUAUUACCAUAAUUAAUCACACCAACCAAACCUACCUAAACCUUUAUAGCCGUUGGGUUUCUACCUCUAUAAAUAUGGAUCAUCAUAACAUAACCUAUAGGUUUUGGAUUCAAGUUUUUGGUCCCAAAUCACCAUCUCUAUCUUCUUCAAUCUGUUCUCUGGAAUCUGCAAUCUGUCCUCUGGAAUUCAAAUCAUCUGAUCAAGCUUGCUCUUCAUCUGGAGAUUAUUCAUUUGAUCUGUUCAUCAUCUUCAUCAUCUCCAGCAACUACAUUCUGCAAUCAUCUUAAUCUUCACGAAUCUGUAUUGUCAUUUACUUUCCAACAAGUUCAAUAUUGUCAUACAUAAAUAUUGCAUUACAUCUCAAAUACUUGGAUAAUCAUACAUCAUAAUUAUAUAAUUCUAACAACAAUAGACCCAACAAAAGCCGGUAGCAGAUCCACAACGCUAUGCAGAUUGUUAAGCAUCAUCCAAGACACCUCUCGUGGGAGUACCGGAAGUAUAUCCUUAACUUUAAACGACAUCUUCAACACGUCCACACCCAACAACGAUCCCCAUCUUCCGCCGCACACCGCGAGCCACAAAACCCACAGGAAAGCAGUUGUCGUGGUCAUGAGGUAGCGAAAGCUGUGCCUGCCUGGUCAUUUAAUUGCCACACGGAACAGUGGAAGUUUUGCCUUUUGGCAUUUGGUGGUAUAUUUAUCAAAACCAUAUACUUAAAACUCAUUCCCAAUUUCCCACACUAUUAUGUGCAACGGGGGAUGAAGAAAUUACUGGUGGAUACCAUUUGGGUAGACGAUGAACCGGAACCAUGAAAUGGACAAUCGAUAAGGACUGGAGCCAUCACCUGAACAAAUGAACUAGAACCAUUACCGGAAUAAAGGAAGACGCCGAAAACUGGAAUGCACUCGCCGAAAACGGAACUGCGGAAGACGGACAUGAUCGAGAAACAGAACGAUGAACGAAGAAGAACGGAAAUCGUCGAUCGGAAACCCAGAAAUAGACGGCGGAAAAAAACUAGCCGGAGAACUGCGGAAGACAAUCGACUGAAAAUAACCGAGGAAAAAAACUAGCUGGAAAAAAGCCCCUUGAACAAAUGUCACAGUCAUAUCAAUUAAAUUAAUAAUUUCUAAAUUAUUUGAAAACAAAUCUUUAAUGAGUGAGGUAACUUUCCGUUUAUCCAAAUUUUGUGGUUCAUUAAAAGAUUGCUCGUCUGUACAUAUAUGUGGUAUAUAAAAAAGAAAACAAGUUAAAAAUUAAAAUACAGUUUUUUUUAGAUACGCUCAAAAUCACUCACCCUAUCUAAACUAUUGGAUCUUCUUAUAGUCAAUCUUAGUCGUUAUUUUUUUAAUCAUUAAAGCGGUUUGGACCCAGAGUCCCGAGUUCGGGUCCAGAUUAGCCAGACCCGGCUGGACCUAGACCCGGAUAUUAUAAUUGUUAGAUAAAUAUUUUAUAAUAUAUUAGUAAGUUAAGGUUUAAAUAUAAAUAUUUUAAAAUAUAUUUUAUAAUAUAUUAAUAACUUAAGGGUUAAAUAUAAAUACACCAUUUAUAUUUUAUAGAAUUUGUAUCAGUUAAUCUGAUCCGUCGGUUGUCUAAUCGAUGGAUCAAAUAUUGAAUUUUGAUUUUUUGGUUAAUUUUGUCAUUAGUAAUGUUUUACCUGUUUUUGUAGGUAAAGUUUAUAAGGGUUGAUAGGUUAGGUUGAUACGUGUGCAGUUAUAGGUCUUUUAUUAUAUAUUUAUUGCUUUGUCUUGUCUAUGUGCAUGUCUUCUUCUAUUUCAGUUCAUCAUUCUCCUGUUUUUCUGUUUCUUCUCCUGUUUUUCUUAUUUUUCUCCAGUUUUUCUUCUUUUUCGGUGUUGAGUUUAUCAUUCUCAUGUUUUUCUCCUUCUUCUUUAGUUUUUCUUCUUCUUUUUAUUUGAAACUGGAUUUUCCAUUGUAACAGGUGUUUUCUUCUUCUUCUUGGGUUUUAUUUUCUUUAUAUUGAUUUUACCAUUUUCCAGUUUAAUCUCAUCUGUUUAUUUGGUUUACAUUCCUUUGAUUUCAGUGCGUUAGGCCCUAGGGCAGGAGUUAUAAAUACCUCCCAUGGUGCAGAAGGGAGGGGGAUCGGUUACCUGAGAAUAGGAAUAGUAGAGAAUUGUGUGUGUGAGCACCUCAGCGCGAGCCCACACACCAUCAACGGUGAACCUGACGUGAAACUAAUACUCAACCGGAGAGAGGAUGGUCGGAGGGAGCUGGUUCCACAAAGGGCAAAGCUCGAAGCAGCUCGGGCAGAAACAGCUCGCGACAGGGAGCUGAGCCCGAAUACUGCAAGGGCGGAGCGAUCGCGAGAGGAGGGGAAGACUCGGAUAGAUCCGAUCCCUACUUCUCAUACAGAAAGCAGUGCGUCGCCUGGGCGCUCGAGACCCAGGAGGCAGCGUGGAGGGCGAGAAUGGAGGAUGCGGACAGGGUGGCCUGGCACAAGGAGAGGGACGCCGCAAAGGAGAUGGCCCGACGUUUGAAGAAGGACGACAGACGUAGGGAGGAGAGGAAACAGAGACGGGAGAGGCGGGACCGCUCCCGGACCCCAACGGAGAGGGGGGAGCGCCGCAGGAGGAAGCCCUUAGAAAAUGCGAAGCUCUCGGAAAUGGUCUCCGCUCUACAGAACAGCCAGCGGCAGUUGCGAGAAUAGGUCCUCCAACUAACCGCCGAACGGUGAGUGCUGGAGUCGGAUGGCGUUGGUGGAGGCACAGCAGGGGGGACCCCGCGAGUGGAGCGAUAGUCACGGUGCCCGGCACGGGGGGUGGGGAAUCCCUAGCACAACAUUUGCUGGAGGGCGAGUACCCCAUCGGCUGGAGAACCCCAAAGAUCCCCGAGUACAAGCUAGAGAGAUAUCGACCCAAGCGACCACCUUUAUUCCUUUAAAACAAACAUGGAGGACAGAACCGAUAGGAAGGACAUUUGGUGUAGAAUGUUUCGAAGGGCGUUCGCGGGUGACGACGUAGCGUGGUACAGAACACUCCCCAAGGCCUCGGUCCAUACCUUCGAGGAGCUAGAGAGAACCUUCUUGGCGGCGUUCGCCCACAAGUGAAGGAGACCGAAGACCAAAACCACCCUCAGUGCAGUAGUACAGGGGGACUUCGAGAGCACGCGAGCGUACAUGAACCGGUUCGCGAGGGUGGUGAAGGAAAUCAAAUGUAACGCCACUGACUCCAGAUCUAAGGAAUUUGUAGGAGGAGUAUUCGAGCCUGUUGACCAAGUCUCUCCUAUAUCAAAAAUGAGCGUUACUUGAAAUGGAGGACCCAGAGCCAUGGCCGUAGCUACAUGAGGGUCAGCUACUGACGAGAAUUGAAGAACUAUGUCGGCUCUUCUAUUCACCGAUGUCUGUGAAUAAAAUAUCGAUUAGAUGACUAUUAUAUUGUUGAUGAUAAUUAUGUUACGUUAUAAAUAUAUAUAUAUGUACAAUUGCAAAAUUUACACACGCCGCACGUUCCCAUGUAUCAAAAGCCUUUGUAAAUAUCCUUUUGCGGAUGUAAAAUGGAAUGGUAGUGCCAGACGGAUCGAGGUAGAACUUCACUCUACGAACGUCUCUGACCCGGGCAGUAGCAGGGAUGACUGCACUACAGGUUUGUCCGGAUGAAGUUGUUAUGGAUGCGAGGAGGAAGAAACCAAGGAAGACAAGAUAUGACAUGGUGAAUUAAUGACAAAAAUUUAGUUUCAAGCUUUGGGAAAUUGUGAUGUGUUCAAACUCAUCAUACACACCCAUAUUUAUACAACUUUUCUACAAUGUGAAUUUAAUGAGUUGAGAAUAAAAUGUUGACCGUAUUAAAGAGGGUGGACCCGUUUAAUGAAUAUUGAUGUCGAAAAUAUUUUAUUUUAUCACAUCAAAAUAAGUAGACAGACUUCAUUCUAUAUAGAGUUAGGUGAUAUCUCAAUUCUCACUAUUAAAUCCAAUUCCAACGACCCCACAUUUGAUUUCUACUUAUUCAUUUUGUUUAUUAAUUUAUUUAAAUAUCAUUAAAUAUGCACAUUAACUUGUAAAUUGUAAUCGGAAUCGCAUAAAUUUAGAUUUUUAUAUAAUUAAAUUGAGAUUUUGAUAUAAUUAAAAAGAUUUUGAUGUAAACUGACUUUUCAUGUCGAGAAAAAAAAUAUAAUUAAUGUUGACAAAUUUAUUUGCCCUACCUACUAAUUCUUCUGAUCAUUUGCAAUUUAUUUGGUAUCGAUAUAUAUUAGUGUGUCCAAAUUAUCAUACAAUUUUGCAUAUAUUUGCAAGUUGAAUUUUACAACUGGAAAUAGAUUACAAUUUAAAAACUUUUUUAAUUAAAAAUAAAAUAUUUUUAUUUUCUAACUUUUCAUAUCGAGAAAAAUUUAUAAUUAAUAUUAACAAAUACUUUUGUCCUAACCAGUUGCUUUUCAAUUAUCAUUAAUUCGUUAUUACACAUAUUUGCGUGUCCAAAAUAUUUUAUUUUAUCACAACAAAAAAGUGGACAGACUUCAUUCUAUCUGAAGUUGGGUGAUAUCUCAAUUCUCACUAUUAAAUCCAAUUCCAACGACCCCACACAUGAGAUUUCUACUUGUUCAUUUUGGUUAUUAAUUUAUUUAAAUAUCAUUAAAUAUAUGCAUUAACUUGUAAAUUGUAAUCGGAAUCGCAUAAAUUUAGAUUUUUAUAUAAUUAAAUUGAGAUAUUGAUAUAAAUUAUUUUUUUAUAUAAUUAAAAAGAUUUUGAUGUAAAACUGACUUCUCACGUAGAGAAAAAAAUAUAUGAUUAAUGUUGACAAAUUUAUUUGCCCUACCUAAUAAAUCUUCAGAUCUUUUGCAAUUAAUUUGGUAUCGACACUUUAACGGAUCCAAAUAAUCAUACAAUUUUGCAUACAUUUGCAAGUUGAAUUUUAUCACUGAAAAUAGAUUGCAAUUUAUAAAUUAUUUUAAUUAAAAAUAAAAUAAAAAUAUAUUAUUUUUUCUUCUAAUUUUUUACAUCAAGAAAAAUUUAUAAUUAAUAUUGACAAAUACUCUUGUCCUAACUAGUUGCUUUUCAAUUAUCAUUAAUUCGUGAUUACACAUAUUUACGUGUCCAAAAUAUUUAUUUUAUCACAUCAAAAGAAGUGGUCAGACUUCAUUCUAUCUGAAGUUGGGUGAUAUCUCAAUUCUCACUAUUAAAUCCAAUUGCAACGACCCCACAUUUGAUUUCUAGUUGUUCAUUUUGGUUAUUAAUUUAUUUAAAUAUCAUUAAAUAUGUACAUUAACUUGUAAAUUGUAAUCCAACGUGAUCGUAUAAAUUAUUUUUUGAUAUAAUUAAAAAGAUUUUGAUGUAAACUGACUUUUUGCGUCGAUAAAAAAUAUAUAAUUAAUGUUGACAAAUUUAUUUGCUCUACCUACUAAAUCUUCUGAUCAUUUGGAAUUAAUUUGGUAUCGACACAUAUUAGUGUGUCCAAAUUAUCAUACAAUUUUGCAUAUAUUUGCAAGUUGAAUUUUAUCACUGAAAAUAGAUUACAAUUUAUAAAUUAUUUUAAUUAAAAAUAUUUUAUUUUUCUCUUCUAAUACCACAAAAUAUAUGGACAAACACAAGUACUUUAUCUAAAGUGGAAUGAUAUUCUCAUGCACCAUUAAAUCCAACCACACAUAAGGGUUCAUUUUAUCCAAACCCCAACCCCACAUUUUUCACCAUUAAUUCUCACAAUUAAAUCCAACCCCAAUCCCAAAUUUAAUUACAAGUUUUUUCUUUUAGGUCAAAAUUUAUUUAAAUGUCAUUAAAUAUGUGCAUAAACAUGUAAAUAAUAAUCUAAUGUAAAUAGUAUAAAAUAAGAUUUUUAUAUAUUUAAUAGAUUUGGAUUUAAACAGACUUUUCACGUAUAGAAAAAUAUAUAAUUAAUGUCAAACAAUUAACUUGCCCUACCCAAUAAUUCCUUUUGACCGCUUACAAUUAAUUUGAGAUCGACACAUAUUUGCGUGUCCAAAUUUGCAUACAAUUUUGUAUACAUUUGUAAGUUGAAUUUUAUCACAAAAAAUAGAUUACUAUUUAUAAACUAUUUUAAUUAAGAAAAAAUAAAAAUGUUUUAUUUUUCUCUUCUAACUUUUCACGUCGAGAAAAUUGUAUAAAUAAUAUUGACAAAUACCCUUGUUCUAACUAGUUACUUUUCACUUAUCAUCAAUUUAUGAUCGACACAUAUUUGAGUGUCCAAAUUAUUUUACUUUAUCAUACCAAAGUAAGUAGACAAACUUCAUUUUAUCUGAAGUUUAGUGAUAUCUCAAUUCUCACUAUUAAAUCCAAUUCCAACGACAUCAUAUUUAAUUACUAGUUGUUAAUUUUAGGUCAUAAUUUAUUUAAGUGCCAUUAAAUAUGUGCAUAAACUUGUAAAUUGCAACCCAAUGGCAUCUUAUAUAAAUUUAGAUUUUUAUAUAAUUAAAUUGAGAUUUGGAUAUAAACUAUUUUUUGAUAUAAUUAAAUAAAUUUUGAUGUAAAAUGACUUUUCACGUCAAGAAAAAAUGAUGUAAAUUUUUUAUUUUCCCUACCUAAUAAUUCUUCUGAUCAUUUGCAAUUAAUUUGAGAUCGACACAAAUUCUUCUGAAUUUUAUCACAGAAAAUAGAUUACAAUUUAUAAACUAUUUUAAUUAAUUUAAAUAAAAAUGUUUUAUUUUUUACUUCUAACUUUUUACGUCGAGAUUUUUUUUAUAAUUUUUGUUGACAAAUACCUUUGCCCUAACUAGUUAUUUUUGUAGAAUCUAAAUUGUUGAUGCAUAUUAUGUAUUGAUAAUCAUGUUUAGUUAACCAUUAUCAUGUUGUUAUUCCCUAGCUAGGAUAAAUUGAAUUUGAAUUAAACCUAAUUUCAAUUAGGUUUAAUUAUAUUAAACCUUAGAAUUAUUUGAGCAUGUCUAAAUAAAGUCAAAAUUCAAAGAACGAUUUUUAUGGUCAACAAGUCAACAUGUUGUAGUUGAGAAUCAAUAGGGUAAAUUGAUUUGAAUUAAACCUAAUCUCAAUCAGGCACAUAUUAACCUUAGAAUUAUUUGACCAUAUAAAAAUUCAAGUCAAAAGUCAAAACCCUAAUUUCGUGGUCAACAUGUCAACAUUGUGUAUUUGAGAAUUAUUCCUAAUUACCAUUAACUAUUCUUAAUCUUUGUCUUAUAGCAAAUUUCAAUAUAAGGAUGGAAAUAAUACAAAAGAGGAAUUCAUGUGAAUAAUACAAGAAAUACAUGGGUUGAAGAGAAGCUAAACCUUGAUUAAAGAUAAACUUAUCAUAGAACAAAGGAAAAAUAUCCAACCACAUUUUUUACUCUUGUGAAAGAUCAAGGAACUAUUGAUUCAAGAUCUAAUGGAGAAGAUCAUUUGGUCAAAGCUAUAAAUAGAGUGGUAUACCCAUUGCAAAAGCCAACCACGCUACAAGAGAUUUUCAAAUAUCAGCAUUGAGCCCCUCAUUUCCACUCUUAACGUCCACAACUUUCAAAAUCUCCAAGUUUCCAACGUUUUCAAAUUGUGUUCAAAUGUUCUUGUUCAAAGGUGUCAAAAGCUCUACACUUCUUCUUCUAAUCUUCUUGAGUGUUCAUAGCAAGUUUGAAGUGUUGUAAUCCUAAACUUUCUCCAUCAUUUUCGUGUGUAUUCCACUUUAGUUGAGAGAGUUGUCUCAAAAUCACCAAAGUGGAAAGGAGGGUUAUUAGGCUUAAUCAUAAAGCUCUAAGUUAGUUUUAUAGAGUUAUCUAGAAAACUCUUAGGUGCUAUACGUCUACCUGGAAAGACUUGGGAAAGUUUUAAGUUUACUUUAAAAACUUAAAUGGUUCGUAAGCAUUGUAGUCUGUAAAAAGCCUACAAAAGGUUCGUAAGCAUUCACUACAAGAAAAGAAAUCUACAACGACGAUUUUGGAUCAUCGCUCAAUUUUAAGAAGGAUUUUAAAGAAAACACACGAUGUUAGCGACGAUAUAAAAAUGAUCUUUUUUUGUAUAAUUAACGACGAUAUAUUGAUAAUCGUCGCUAAAUAUACGAAUUAUAGCAACGAUUUAAAAUUUAACGUCGCUAAUAAUGAGUACAAAUUUAUAAAAUUUUAUAACAAUAAGGUAUUUAUGUAAAAUGACCCUUUUAUAUAUAAUUGUCUUUUAUUAUAAAAUCCCAAAUUUCCCUUUCACUAAGCCUAAACGCUCCAUUUUCCCAAUCUCUCCUAUCGCCGAAUUUCCCCAAUCUCCCCUAUCACUGGAUUUUCCCGCCAGUCAUCAUCAACGGACGAUAGAUUUUCCUAUCGGUCAUCAUCAACGAACGCCGGCAUCAAUAUGGAGCAGAUAUGUUCAUUGGGUUUCUAGCUGUAUCUUCCCUAUUUCUGUUUGGAUUUCUUGUUGGAUUUCUGUUUGGGUUUGUCAUUGGAGCUUGUUUGCAUCUUUCUGUUUGGGUUUGAAUCCUUGCUAAUUCGUUUUACACAAUGUUUUGUUUCUGUUUGAAUCGUUGCAUCGUUUUGUUUCUGUUUGAAUCCUUGCAUCGUUCUAUUUGGAUUUGAAUCCUAGCAAAUUCGUUUUACACAAUGUUCUGUUUCUGUUUGAAUCCUUGCAUCGUUCUGUUUGGAUUUAUGUUUGGGUUAGGAUUUUAUACAAUAUCAAAUAUAAAACUAAUAUCCUUUAGAAAUGCCAAAUAGUUUCAAAUUAAGACAUCAAUUAUCAAUCAAUAAAAUUAAAAUACAAGCAUAUCACAAAAAAAAUACUCGAUAUAUUGAUUGCUGGCAAUUGGAGAUGGUGGAUCUCCAGGUUGUAGAUUUAUAAAGUAUUUAUUUUUAUUUGGGGAUUGGAAAUUCUGUUUGGAUUUAUGUUUGGUGGGAAUGGGCUGGGAUCAUGUACUUAUAAUCAUAGAAUCCACUAGAUCAUCAGAUUAUAAGUGAUUUUCAUACCGAACCAGACCUGAAUAGGGGUUAUAUACAUUCUCAUUAUGAGAGGGUUCUAGCAUAUGUAAAUGGAAUUACUCGUUUGAAUCAGUUUUACACAAUGUUGAAUCGGUUUAAUUCGUUUUACACAAUAUUCUGUUUCUGUUUGAAUCAGUCAUUAUAUUACUGUUGGUGUAUAGACUUGUCGGUGCAAGCUCAAAACCUCAACUCUCUCAAGUGUUCACUCUCUCGUAUUGUCAACCCCCUCCCCUGUUGGACCAGGAGAGAUAUUUAUAGUUUCUUCUCGCCGACCUCGGGCCUCGUGGGCUCGUGUGUUGGGCCCGUCCACUCGCCUGGGCCGCCGACAGGCCCUGUUCGGUCCAUGGUACCAACAGUACUCCCCUCUUCCUCGACGGGCCCGGGCCCGGGGGCCGCCUGUCCCCGUCCCGUCUACAACCACCUCCAUUAAAGCUCCUCGGUGUUUGAGCCCAUCCUCCUUCUCCUUCCUAUAAAUAGCCUACUCGACUCUUCAACUUCUCAUACCAUCCCCCCUUCCGCCAUGAGUGUUCAAGACAUCCUCGAAGAGUACGGUCGCGAAGUGCAACUUCAGCAUGCCGCCUGGGCCAUGUGCCUGAUGUCGCCCGCCGACGUCCCUAACAGCGUGGCCGUGGCCGAGACUCAACGUCUAAACGCCGUGUUGAUCGACGUCCAUCGUCACCUCUCCCAGGUUCGCCACUCCGACCUUCUCGCCUACCCCGGUACCGCUCUUGCCGCCGUCUCGGGCUCCGCCGGCACCUCGCGUGCCUUCAGCGCGUAUGGUAUGAUCACCGCUCCUGCUGUCGCCGCCGCUGCCGAUUCUCUGCCAAAGCGUCGUCGGUCGCGCGGCCAUCGCCGCUCCCGGGGGUCUUCGUCCCUUCCGGCUACUGACCUGUGCCACUUCCUGUCGGGGUCCUCGAAGUCGGCCCGUGAUGAAGCACGGAAUCUGCUACCAGUAGGCUCGCGGGGUGGCGAGAUGAUCCGGAGGCUGUGGAGUCCACGACGCGCGCUCUACGUCAAACACCUGCAGAAGAGGAGGGGAAUCGACGACUCACGUGGGAGUAGACGAUUCGGGCUCCUUGGUUGCUCUAGUGUGGAGUGUGAGUCAAGAGAGUAAGUCAUGGAUGGAGGACACCCCUAGGACCCCUUUUAUAGGGUCCUAGAGGCGUUUCCAUUCAAUGGAGUGGGGCCCACCUCAUUAUGGUGCCCUAUUGAAGGGUGCCAUAAUGGGGUGGGCCCGCCCGCGUAACGGUUGGGAGUCGCCGAUCCAGGAGUGGAGUCGCCGAUUCCUUGGAGGCCAAGUCCUCGGUCUACCAGACCCGAGAUCCCUGGCCGGAAUCGGCGAUUCACCCUUGGAGUCGGCGACUUGGUAGUCCCAGUCGGCGACUCCUAAGUGUUAACUUGGGCUUUUGACGUAGACACGUGCUUCGCACCGUGGAAGCCUUUCCAGGGGUCCGGCAUAUAGUGACGGAACCCUAUUCCUUGUUUGAAGGGCGUUGCUGGGAGUGACUGACGUAAUCAGGCAUGUCUCACCAGUACUCCCCCCUGAAGAGAGUAUGGCUGAACACCCGUGUACCGCCAGUAUCCCCCCCCAAGCAAGGUGAUCCGCAUCAAGGCCAAAGCGACAAGAUGGGAUCGAAUCAAUGUGGCCACAGCGACACAAUGACUCCGUUACCCAUGCACUAUUAGAUGGGUUGAUUCACUAUCAGAAUCUAGUUCCAGGCCAAUAGAACUACGUGUUUAUAGUCCAACUCUGAUCAGGAGCGACUCUUUCUGUGUUAUCAUCAAGGCCGAAGCGACAAGAUGAAGGGAGAUUAUUAAGGCCCAAAGCGACAAAAUAAUUCUCAUCCAUUAAGGCCAAAGCGACAAAAUGAAGCGACUCGCUAUCAGAGUCUGAUUCUGACCAAAGCGACAGAAUGCGUGGAUCCUGGCCAAAGCGACAAGAUCUAGUUCACUAUCAGAACUGAUGUUUAUAGUCCACCCUGAUCAAGAGCGACUUUACGUCCGCAACGACGGUUACCCCACUAAGGUCGAAACGACAAAGUGGGUCGAGAUCAUUAAGGCCAAAUCGACAAAAUGAUCUCCAAGUCUAUCAAGGCCAAAGCGAUAAGAUAAGAGAAUUAUUGAGGCCAAAGCGACAAAAUAAUUCUUGGUCCAUUGAGGCUAUAGCGACAAAAUGGACUGACUCGUUAUUAGAGUCUGAUUUUGGCCGAAGCGACAGAAUGCGUGGAUCCUGGCCAAAGCGACAGGAUCGUUCCUGCAAAACAACUACAUCAGUCUAAAGGAUAUAUUUAUUGACUUACUGACCUUGCCGUGCGGGGCUGCUCCUCGUGCUGCUCCUUCCUAUGCUCAAUAAAUCCUCGAUUGAUCUGGCCGAAGCGACAGAUCUAUCAUGCUCAUGGUGUGACAGCUUCUGGCCAAAGCGACAGAAGUGUCGGGAAGAGUUUAUGAUACUCCCCCCCGAAUUUGACAACUUCUGGCCAAAGCGACAAGAGUGUCGGGACGAGCUUAUGAUACCCCCCCUUGAGAUCAUUAAGGCCGAAGCGUCAAAAUGACCCCUGGUCUACUAAGGCCGAUGCGACGAAGCAGACCGACUCACUAUCAGAGUCUGAUUCUGACCAAGGCUACAGAUCCACUAUCAGGAUCUACCAACCUCUUAUUCAUGACUGUUCCCUUAUUGGCAGGAACAUUGCCUCGAUGGCGCAGGCCAAUAGCAUGUCCAAUCAGAUGUAAAGCCACUGAGUGCAGAUCUAAGGAAUUCUGAGGACGAGGAGGAGUAUCGCCUUUUGCCCAAAUCUCUCCUGAAUCAAAAGUGAGCUCUACUUGCGGACUUGGAGGAGCCGUGGCCGAAGCUACAUGAGGUCCAGGUAUUGGCAAGAAUUGAAGAACUAUGUUGGCCUGACUUUUCACCGAUGUCUGUGAAUAAAAUAUCGAUUAGAUGAGUAUUAUAUUGUUGAUGAUAAUUAUGUUACGUUAUAAAUAAAUAUGUAGAUGAGUAUUAGGAACUUACAAUUGCAAAAUUUACACACGUCUGAGCUUCCCAUGUAUCGAAAGCCUUUGUAAAUAUGUUUUUGCAGAUGUAAAAUGGAAAAGGACAAGUCGGAUCGAUGUAGAACUUCACUGUACCACACCCCCAUUUUGCACAAAAAGGAGUGAAGUCGUUAUUGACUGCACUACAGGUUUGUCCAGAUGAUGUUGUUAUGGAUGCGAGGAGGAAGAAACCAAGGAAGACAAGAUAUGACAUGGUGAAUUAAUGACUAGAAUUUAGUUUCAAGCUUUGGGAAAUUGUGUUGUGUUUAAACUCAUCAUACACACCCAUAUUUAUACAACUUUUUUACAAUGUGAAUUUAAUGAGUUGAGUAUAAAAUAUAGCCAUGUUCAAUGUAUAUUAAAACUUUUAUAAAAUUCAAAUGUAUCUGAGGAUCGUAUUAAAAAGAAUAUGUACGAUGAAUAAUUUGUGGACAUGCAUAUAUAUAUUUUCGUAACACAACUUCAAUCCGCAUAAAGUUAACGAUCUUAUCUUAAAAAAAUUGGUUGUAUUUUAAAUACAUAUUAUAAUUAUGUUUAUUAUACAAAAUUAAAUUUUAUUAUAUUUUAAGCAAAAUAAAUUACAAUUUAAUUAUAUACUAUUUUCUGAUAAAAUCGAAAAAAUAUCGCCAUUGACUGCACUACAGGUUUGUCCAGAUGAUGUUGUUAUGGAUGCGAGGAGGAAGAAACCAAGGAAGACAAGAUAUGACAUGGUGAAUUAAUGACUAGAAUUUAGUUUCAAGCUUUGGGAAAUUGUGUUGUGUUUAAACUCAUCAUACACACCCAUAUUUAUACAACUUUUUUACAAUGUGAAUUUAAUGAGUUGAGUAUAAAAUAUAGCCAUGUUCAAUGUAUAUUAAAACUUUUAUAAAAUUCAAAUGUAUCUGAGGAUCGUAUUAAAAAGAAUAUGUACGAUGAAUAAUUUGUGGACAUGCAUAUAUAUAUUUUCGUAACACAACUUCAAUCCG